AAAAAAAUCAUAGGUUCCAAAAACUUCAUAGAAAAACGUGUCGAAUGACCGCAAACAAAUCCAUUAAAUUUGAAAAUGAUUACACACAGAAUUACCUAAUUUAGAUGCUUUUACUUUUCAUAGUUUUAUAUGGGUUAAUCUCCACACAAACUCACUUCCUUAAUGCAAUACUUUUUACUCCUUAGGAGAUACUUCAAUUUUACAUUGAGGCUAAUAGAUCAAACACCUUUUUUUCUUUUUUUUUCUAUUGAAAAAUAUUUUCAAAAUCGUUCUCGAAAGAUUGAUUGAUUAAGAGUAGGGGCUAUGAAGAUAACUAUGUUCUUAACUUAAAUUUAUAUUAAAAAAAACUUUUAAAAAUACAAAAAGGACAAUUAAAACAACUCAAAACAUAGGAUUGACUUUUAAAAAUUCUAAAAGGGGCUUGGGAAUGUUGAGGGAGAGGGCAUUUGAACAUCCUUUGAUAAAUUUGAACGCUACUUUCCAAUUUUGCAUAUAAACUCUUGUUUUUCGUGUUUAUUCCAGAAUUGUCAUCUAGCUAACAUGUCAUAAUCAUUUCUUAAGCUCUAAUUAUAUGAAAUGCAUAUGUACCUCAAAAUUUAACCAAUUCUAAAUUAGUUUGAAAUCAAUUAUAAAUAAUAAAAUUCUCAAAGGUAAUUCAAUGCAGAAAUAAUAAUAAUAAUAAUAAUAAUAAUAUUAAUAAUAAAAUAAAAUUAUCAACUUCUACUAAUACCUUUACAUUUCUCUUUCAAUUUUACACGUGGAUACAAUAAAUAAAAAUAAAUAAAUAAAUAAAUAAACUAUAGUAGAGGGAUGCUAUGUUAAUCCACCAAUGAGAUACAAAAAUUUGAAUAAUUAGAUAAUGAUGGACAUAAAUCAUAUGACUUUGGUUGGAUCCAUAUUUAUUUUUCCUCUUUCUCCAUGGGAAUAAUAAUUUUGGACACCCACAAAUCAUAACUUAAUUAAAGGUAUAAUGACAUAGACGCAUUGAAUUUGCAUACUUUCAUUAUGAAAACAUAGUCUAAAACAACGACUGUGAGACCUAAUAAUCCAUUCUAAGGCUUGUUGGACAGAGACAUAUAACCAAAGUUGAACAUUAGCAUGAUUUCUCAAAUUAUUGUGAUGUGGAAUAAUAUGUGAACAUAUUUUUGAGUGGAAAAAUAGCCACGUGGACAAAUGUGAGGUUGACAAGUGUAAUGGGAAGUCAUUGAAGAGGGCAAUUAAGGGGAUGUUGGACCAUAUAAAAGACUGGAGCUGGCAGUGAUCAAAGAGAAUUUAAGGUGGUGACCCCAGUGUCUCCAACCAAUACGAAUCUUUGAGCCAUUACACCAUUGCUUGCCUUACCACAAACAUUUAUUUUUUUGUAUUUAGCCUUUUGCUUGUGGGUCCAAACUCUUUGUCGUUUUCAUAUAUCGUAAUCAUAUAAAUCAACUCCACAAGGUCUGAGCCCCACCUUCUUUAAUGAUAUUAUUUAGAGCUUCCCUUCAAUCUCAAUUUACCGUUUUUCUUUUGAUUCUAUUGUUGGGAAAUCUCUGCCAUGCAAGGGCUCUCUCCUAUGUCACUGUUGUCAUAAAUCAUGAACCCCCCACCUUUUUUUUUUCUUUGGGAUAAGUAUAAGAAAGUGGAGGGGAGUGAGUCAAGCUUCCUUGUAUGAAUGGUGAAAAUUUUUCUAAUUAUGCAUUUAUAUGCAUUGAUAGCUUUUAUGAAAUUAGUUUUGAGUUUAUAAUCAUUGCUACUCUUAAGGAAAUUUUCAUAAUCCAAACGCAAUUACAUGCUAAAUAGACAUAGUUUCAUUAUGAAAUAUAAAUUUUAAAAUUGUUUUUGGGAUUCAUAAAAGAUUAUGUCUUAAAAUAGGGAGAAUCAUUGUGAAGAUUGUGGAUCCAAAAUAAAUAAUAUUCAUUCAAUCUUGACAAGUCUGUAUCAAAAUUAAUCAUUUGUAAAAAUGCUUGAAAUCAAGUAACUCAGAAACCCUCUGUCGAUGUGUACUUUAAAUUUAUAUGAGAGAAGAUGAGUUAUAACACUAUACGUCAUAAAAAAGAGAAGUUCAUUGAAUUCAUAGGUGAUGAUGCAUGCAUUUGGGUUAAAAGGAAUAAUAUUGAUCCUUUUAUUAUUUAUAAAUCUUUGUCACUAUGUAUCUAACAAGUAGUGACUCAAUGCCAACAGACUUGGAUUUAUAUAGUAUCAUUAUAUUUAUUUACAUUUUCAAAACGUAAGACAUUGUUAUAUUUAUUUAUGUUAUGAAAAAGUAGGAAAACCCAUUUUUCUUCUUAUGUAAGGAAUAUAUUUUUAUUUAAUUAAGUUUUUAAUUAUACUUAUUUUUUUUAUAAACACAAAGUUAAAUAUAAUUAACAAACAAAGAAUUAUUAGAUUAUGAAGUUUGAAUUAAUUUUAUUGUGCUUCACUCAAGAUAUUAAAUGUUGAGUUGUCUAAUCAGCUUGUGGGGGUUGAGCUCUCUGGUGAACUUGCAAGGAUCCAACUAUUUAAUUAGUUCUCGGGACGUAGGGUGCCACACCCCCUAUAGAUGGUUUUUUUUUUUUUUUAAUUAAUUAUGUGUUGACAAGUUUGUUUCUAUUAUAUAUUUAAUAUUUUUAUAUUUAGGGUUUUAUGUUUUCAGACUGAUUGCAAUUGAAAUUUUUUUUUUAGAGUUUCACCAUUAUAAUUUUUCUAUUUUAUUUUGAUUAGUAGAUUGUUGAUUGUUGGUGUACUCCGUAAACAAUAUUAAAAAUUGUGUCUUUUGUCUUUUUCUUUAUUUUUCACUCGUAUACAUGAUUUGAUUAUAUAUAUAAAAAUAAAAUUACAAAGCAAAUAUAACUAUUUUUAUUUCUAGCUACUUCGUUCUAUUGGUAUAAAUGGAAGUUUAAAAGCUCCCCAAAUAACCCCAAAAAAAAUAAAAAAUAGAAAAAAUCUCACCAUCAAUCCUUAAUGCAAAUUUCCAAAAUAUGGUACAACAUUUUAUUUGAAUACCCACCAUAUUUGUGAUCAUGAUCAUCUUCUUGAACAACCAGGAACGUUUGUCCUCCAUGUAAGGGAUUUCUUAUGGUUACAACUCUCAUAUAAUGACACUUCUGCAUUAAUUACUAGCCAGGAUCAUUUAGUAAGAUAUUUUGGACCAGUCCCACUGGUUACGUGGACACAUUGACAUUCAGGAGGCAAAGGACAUUCAUUAAAUGAGAUGAUAAAGGACUUACAAAGACAUUUUUACCCAUACAACUUUUGUAUUACAAGGAACUUUGGCUCACAAAUGAAAGAAUUAAAUUGUCUUUUACUCAAUAUUUUAUUUUAUUCUAUUCUAUUUUGUUUCCAUCAUCACUUGGAUGAUUGGAGGGACGGUACUGAUGAAGUUGGCGCAACAAAAUCCACAUUUAUCUCUAUGUCCCAUUGCAUUAACUUUGUCCUAGAUGUACUGUAACUUAUUUUGGUGGGACAGUAAUUUGUGAUUACAAUAGAUUAAAGUUUAGUUGAAUCAAUUCUACUUUUGACUAAGAAAAAGGGCAAAAAAAAUUUGCAGGUCACCAUUUUUCUCUGAACUUAUCUAGAAUUGAGAGAAUUUCUACAUCUGACUUUUGACACCCAUCCACUUAUUUCAUGGAUUUUGAAUCAUAUUUAGUAAUAGAAUAUUUGAAAAGUUCAAUGUUUUUAACUUAUCGAUUUAAGUAUUAAGACAUAUAAAAUUAUACAAACUAAUUAUAAAAUAUUUAUUAUAUUAAGAUGUGUAUGUAAAAGAAGCUAUAAAUAAAUUGAAUUAGGUUAUGGAAUAAUAAUAAAUCAUUAAAUUAAUUUAUCAAAUACCCUUUAAAAAUAAUAAUUUAAGUUAUAUUAAAAUAUUAAAAUUUAUCAAAUAUGGCCUUAGAAAAGAUAUGUAAGUGUUAUUCAAAAGAGUUUUUGAAUCACGAUGUUCUAGAAUACAGAUCGUAAACUUUGUAACUUAAUUUAUUUAUGUUAGAAGAGUAAAGACUUAUUAUUAUUAUUUUUCUCAAAUUUAUGUUUGGAAACAAAAUUUUGUUUUAUAAUUUUUUUUAAAAAAUAUAGUGAAAUAUAAAAUCAAUUGCAACAUCAAAUAUUAUUAUUUCAUCCCCUUCUUUUUUAAUGCUAAAAAAAAAUUUGGGGGUGCCCCUUUAAAGGUAGAAUGGGUUGCUUGGUCCCAACCAAGAUAGCUAGGCCAAUUGGGCAAUUCACAACUCUAGUUCAGUUUGAAACCAAGUAAGCCUCAUGGGGUUGUGACCCAGGUCUGGUACAGCCCUUUUUGGGCCUUAACAUUAACUGAGGGAGUAAUAAGUGAAAUCCACACCACUCAUGCACUUUAAUUUAGGAUGUCAUUGUAUUGACUUUCACAUCUUUGAACCCUUUUUAGCAUCCAUAUGAGUUUUGGGAAGAAAAUUGAUUUUUGAUUAGUGAAACCAACCAAGAUGAAUGCAUUUAUGGACCUGGCAAAGUCUUCCAUGGGUUUGACGGUGAAGAAAGCUGAACUUUCAUGAUUUUAAUUUUGGAUUAUAUAUGAUGGGGGUCUAAUCUCAUAUUGGAAUGUAAAUUCCCACCUACCUAGACAGGGGUCUAAUAUUUUAGGGUUUGUCUUGCAGCCUAAUUCUAAAAAAUGUGCAAUUGUUUUUUACCUUGUAAAUUAACUCAAUCUAAAGAGUUUUCACACUAUGUUUUCAUUUAUAGUCUACCAAUAGCUUGACCACCACAACCAAAGGAAUAAAUUAUGACACAUAAAUGGUAGAAUUAUGUGUGUGUAGAAUUCUAUCAAUACUAAAUUGCUUCGCAACUUUGUUGUUUUAUACAAGAAAUUUCCAUUUUAGCUCAUCAUAAAGUGGUCAGGAUAAGCAAUGAGAUCACAUUUCAACAAAUGAGAGUGAGUCCCAUGUCGUAAUUUUUUUUCCCACUCCCUCCCAUUUAUUUAAUGGCUUCUCCAAUUUCCAUUUUCAAGCUCAAAAAGAUUCUUGUAGUACGUGUGGAGUUUGUGUAGGAUUCAUGAUAAAUGUGAUAAAUGAAUGAUUAACAUAAGUGCAUACCAUCUUGACAAAAAUUAUUUGAAUUUUAUUCUUGAAAACAAUUAAUAAUUAUUGUAAGGAGCUAUUUCUCAAAACAAUUUUUCUUUUUAAAAAUUUGUUUUCAAAAUUAAUAUUUUUAAACAAAUCCUUGGAUUAAAAAAAGUGGCAAUUUCUAAUCAUAUUCUAAAAUGAUUUCUUUAACAAAAACGAGAAGAUAAACAAGAAAACCAUGGUAAGUUGGGCUGAAGAAAUUAAUUAACAGUAACAAGUGAAAAGGGGAGUAUGAAAAAAUGCAACCACAUAUGAGUUAGAGGGUACUUUGGUCAAUAGAUUUUGCGCAUACUCUGAUCAAAAUUUAUUUCGUUAUCCCGUAUAUGUCGCUGACCUUUCUUCGCUACCCCAUCUCUCUUCUUCUUUCUUUCUUUUCUUCGGAGACUUCUUCUUCUUCUUCUUCUUCUACAAAUCUCUCUCCCUCGCUAUUUCUGUUCUCACUGACAAAAAUGGGCAGAUCACCAUGCUGUGACAAGGUGGGGUUGAAGAAAGGGCCAUGGACUCCGGAAGAAGACCAGAAACUCUUGGCUUACAUUGAAGAACACGGCCAUGGGAGCUGGCGAGCUUUGCCAUCAAAAGCGGGUGAUCAUCCGCACUGAAUUCUGCAUGGAGAUGGGUUUUCUGAGUUUAGUUUACUGAUGAUGGGGUUUUGUGACUUGGUGGGUUGUUGUGUGUAGGGCUUCAGAGAUGUGGCAAGAGUUGCAGACUGAGAUGGACUAAUUAUCUGAGGCCUGACAUUAAGAGAGGAAAAUUCAGUUUACAGGAGGAACAGACAAUCAUUCAACUCCAUGCCCUCUUGGGGAACAGGUACAAAAGUAGAUUUUUUCUUGUUAUGACUCUUAUGAUUAGUUUUAGUACUAGUGUUAUAAAUACUUUCUCUGAGGAGUCAGGUGCAGGGUUCUUGAAUUUUUUUUCCUCAAACCUCCACUGUUUUCAGUGAAAAUCCCAGUCCUGAGUCUUAAAAUUUGAGAAGUGGGUGUCUGAGAUGUAAUUAAUACCUGCUAUUAGUGGAAGAAGCUUUGAUGUUCAUCACCAAAGCUGGCUUCCAAAAUGUACCAUAUGUCUUUUGUUUUGGCAUCAAAACCAUCUCGAAAUCUUCAUAAUCCAUGUGAAGGGUUUUGAAUAUGGGGGGAGGAAUCUUGAAUUUUUCUCCAAAAUGACAUAGAAAAUGAUGUUAGUUUGUUGUAUUAUCAUCUUGAUUGAAAUGGGAAAUGGGGGUGGUAGUUGAUGGUUACUAGGGCGUUUUUGUUUUAUAGGGAUUUUUUGGGGGUGUGUCUCUAUUAUGUUUUUGUUGUCUUGUCUGAAGGUGGUCGGCUAUAGCAACUCACUUGCCUAAGAGAACAGACAAUGAGAUCAAGAACUACUGGAAUACGCAUCUCAAGAAAAGAUUGGCCAAAAUGGGCAUUGAUCCAGUCACCCACAAGCCCAAAAGUGAUGCUCUACUCUCCAGUGACGGCCAGUCAAAGAACGCCGCUAAUCUCAGCCAUAUGGCUCAGUGGGAGAGCGCUCGCCUCGAAGCGGAAGCUAGAUUGGUCAGAGAGUCCAAGCUACGUUCCAAUUCUUUCAACCAUCAUCCGGGGACUCCCUCGGCUUCUACUUCGGCGGCGGUUGGGGGCAAAACGGCUGCGGUUUCUAGCAGUCCGCCGCUGUAUCUUGACGUGCUUAAAGCUUGGCAUGGUGUGUGGCCCAAGUCAACUGAAGGUGGUGGCUCUAGCGGAGGCGGCGGCGGGGGCGGCGGUGGUGGUGGGGGUGUGGCGGUCGCUGGCGACCUCGAGUCUCCUACUUCGACGCUUAGCUACUCCGAGAAUGCAGCGGCGGUGGCGUCCACGGCGGUGAUUGACUUCGUGGGCAACUCAGGCUCUUGUGAGGGCGGGAUCAUCAAAGACGAGGGCGACCAACAAGAGUGGAAAGGCAUGGGAAGCUCGACCCAGUUGCCGGAGUCCUUCACGUCGGCACUCCACGACAUGGCCGUGCCAAUGGACAGCGGCGCGUGGACUCCAGAGUCGCUCAAAACCGUCAACGGCGGACACUUCAUCGAGGGCUUCACCGAGCUUCUCCUCAGCAACUCAACCAACCGGACCCUCUCAGACACAGACGGCGGCGGAGACUCUGACAAUGGCGGCUGCAGUGGCAGUGGCAGUGACUACUACGAAGAUAACAAGAAUUACUGGAACAGUAUUCUAAAUCUGGUGAAUUCGUCACCGUACGAUUCUCCCAUGUUCUGAAAAACCUUAUGGACACCAUGCACACAGAGAGAACCAGUUCAAUUGUUAAUAGCUCGGCCGUUUCCGCUCAGUCCUUGUUAUCAGUACUCUGCCAUUCCUUCUCUGCAAACUGAUCAGAAUCGGAAUGCAACUCGUUGGAGUCGACUCAGUGAUUAUCUAUAUUAUUUUUUUUCCUCUCUCUCUCUCUCUCUCUUUCUUUUUCUUUUUUCUUUUUUUUUUUUCUUUUUUUUUUCUUUUUAAGUUAUUAUUCAAAUGUAGAUCUAGGGUGUGGAGAGUGGGAAAUGGUGGAAUUGCAGAAACUAAUGCUAAAUAGAGUGUAUGAAAUGAAUGAAUAAAUCUUAUUAAUAAUAAAUACCUUUGUAUUUAUGGAAAUAUAGAGAGAGAUGUCCACUAAGGGGUGUAUUUAUGAUCAACUUUACUGCUGUUGGUUUCAUGUCACAUUCUGGUUUUAUAAGCAAUCAAAUUCUUUUGUCGUGUUUGGUUCCCGUCAAUGAGAAAGAAAAUAGGAGAAAGUAGAUAGAAAAAAAGUGGGUUUUAUAAUUGGUAAACAAAGAAGCCGUAUCUUAUGGGAGAAAAAAAAAUGAUUUGGACGGUGGUAUAGAAAGACAAUUCAAUGAUUAAUGUAGGAAGAAAUGAGAAAAUUUUCUUUUGAGUUUUCUAGGUGAGGGUUUCAUGUGGAGCUUGAAAAUUUGUAAUUUUGUGGAUAUUAAAGAAAAUUAAAGAAUCUUGUUGGGACGGUGAGUUUUUGUACUAUGUUUCAAUUCUUACAUUGUAAUCUUUAAAAACACACUACUCCAUACGUUCAUUCAUUCGGAAUUAAUAUUUUUUUUUCAUAUUAUUUAGAAAUUAUUUGAAACAAAUUUAAGUUUAUUUAUUUAUUUAUAGAUAGGAAGGAGAAUGAACAAAAAAUAUUGCUUUCAUUAUUUAAGUAUAAAAAUAACUCUUAAGAGUUAUUUUUAAAAAUUUGAUUUGUAAUAAUUAUUUUUUAAAAUGCCGUGAAAUAAACCCUAAAUUUUUUAUAUUCCAUGUAGAAAAGUCUCAUUAAUUAAAAAAAAUUUAUAUAUAAAAAAUUAAUUUAAUAAGAUUAUUUUCAUCUAAAAAGUUGAUAAUAUAGGAAUAAGAAAAUAGAUGGAAAUAAAAUUAUAGGUUAGUAAAUAAUAUUUCAUUAUAGACAUUUCUCCUAAACAUAUUAGUCUCUCUUUUUGGUCUUAUUCAGCUAUUUAUAUCUCAACAAUGAUAAGUAUUAAGGCAAAUAACAAAGAAAGAUAUUUGCAGCUAUUAUAGUAAUUAAUUAAUUAAUCAUAAUUAUAUAUAUAUAAAGAUUAUAGAUUUAUUUUUUUAAAAAAAAUUAUUUAAUUUUUUUUAUAUUUUUAAUAAAUAUUAGAAUGUGUUUGACAAUCAUUUUAAAUAUUUUUAUUACUUAAAAGUAAAAAAAUUUAAAUAUUUAAAAAGUUAAAAAUAUUUUAUUAUUAUCAACCAAACUCUUGAUAGGACAAGAAAAGAGCCUAAUUUAUAAAAAAUUGGGGUUAUCUUUCAACAUCUAUUUUUAGAAAUUAUUUUACAAAAUUGGAGUUUGCCAACUCUUUAAAUUUUUAAGUGAAACAAAUUAAAAUUAAAGAAAAUAAUUUAAAAAAUAUAAGUAUUUAGAUCAAAUUCCUCAUUUUCUUUUGGAUGUUUUUUAUAAUAAAUGAGUUUUAUUUUUCAUAUCUUUGAUCACUAAUUUUUUUAUGAAUAUAUAUAUAUAUAUAUAUAUAUAUUUAUAUUUUAACUAUUAUUAUUUAAAAAUCAAAAAAUAUUUUUGGGUGGUAAACUAUCUAAGGAUGACCCAUAAAAAAUAAACAAAAUGCAACUAAAUCUCUUUAAAAAAAAUCAUUUAAAAAACUCGCCAUCACCACUCCCCAAGGGGAAGUACAGCAAAUAAAUCAAGGAGCCCACAAGGGCAAGUGUGGAUAAUAUCACAAUAAAUAUAGAUUUUGGUCCCAAAGUCCCCACAAAAAAAAAAAAAAAAAAAAAAAAAAAAAAAAAAAAAAAAAAAAGUUGCUUUUAAUAUAGCCUGCAACAGAGGCACAAAAAAGUCUGACCAAGAAAUAGCCAGGAUGGACCCCCAUCCUCCGUAGAUCCGUUGAUAUGUUGACUUUGAUUUUGUGGGAAAACCAAAAUUAAAUAAAUAAAAAGGGAAAUUAUUGGUGAGUGACGUGGAUGAGUCGUAGAGGCUCCACGUGUCUGGUCCUGAAAUUUCAUAAUACAAUAAUUGGGGGGGAGGGGGACAAGUCACUGACAAAAUCCAUGCAAUGUUGUUAACAAGCCAUGCACACAUAUAAAGUUGGGAGGGACUUCGCAUUAAGUGUACAAAGUUGUCACACGUUCCCUCGUUGGACCACCUUCACAAAAUUGGUCCUGGACCUUCAAAAUUAUCUUAGCUUAGUUAUUAUUUUUCACUUUUAUCCUAUGCUUCAAUCCCUCUUUAGUCUUGAUGAAAAUGCUUAUUUAUACUUUUGUAUGCAUUCCUGUUCAGUUAAUAUGUAUCAUUUCGAUAUUUUAAUAUUCUUCAAAUAUUUCAAGGUUUUUAAAAUAUUUUUUAAAAAAUGAAAAUGACUUUUUUUUUUCAACAUUUUUGUAUUAAUAAUAUUUUUAUUAGAAAUUUCUAAUAUAAAAAAAUGCCUUUACUUGAUAGGGGAUUUUUUUUUUUCUCUUUUUUUCCUAAUUCAUGCUUAUAACCUUGAGCUAAAAGGGGUUGGGUGAAUAAUAAUUAUGAGCCAAUUGUAGGUUUUUCUUUUCUUCUUUUUUUAUUUUUAUUUUUUCCCAAAAUUAUGAUUCUCCAUUUUUGUCAAUCCUCAUUUCUAAUUGCCUAGCAGCUACAAAUGGACAUGGUUUCCCAUCCAUCCUUGUCCUCAUGGAUGAUGCCAAAGUGUGUUUGGUUUUGUUGGGUCGUUGUGCUCCAUUUCAUAGCCAUUGUUUUAGGCUUUUUAUGACUUAGGAAGCAAACUGUCCAUAUCAAUAACUUCUUUUUGUUUAUUUUGUGGGGGGUUUUAGAGUCUAUGUCAAAAGUGCCUAUUGCCUAAUUAUCAAAAUGGUUUUAGGGCUAUCUAAGAGAACAUAUUUUCAUUUAGAAAAUUUACAAUAAAUUUUAUGUAAAUGUAAAUGAUAAUGAUAUAAAUUGUAAUCUGCUCAAAUUUGAGAUAAAAGCUAUUGAUGAAUUAGUUUUAAGUUAAUAAUUUUAUUUCAUUUUUUAUUGAACCCGAUACAUCAUACUUUCAUGGGUUUAACCCGUUCUUGUUUCACCUUCGAGCUACUUCAAAAUUGUUAUUUCUUGAAUUGUGUAUGUAAUCGGAAUUGCUGAGGUUUAAAGAAUGCCUAAUAUAAGUUAUCAUAUUAAUUGCUCUUAAAAUCAAUACCUCGAGUUUUAAUGUAUGACAAAUUAGUCAUCCCUAUAGUCCUAAGAUUCUUGUUAAGUGUUGCCUAUUAUAAUACAUAUGUUUAAGUUAUAAUAAGGUUUUUGAUGCAGAUGAUGACAUAUAAUAGACUAUAUUUAACAUUAUCAAAAGGGUUAUGGACUUUAUUACAAAAUAUAAUGAAUGAACGUAUAAAAAAACUAUUGGAUUUUCUACAAAUAAUAUAUUCCACAUAAAAAUCUAAACGGGAAUUGAAUGUCAAAAAAUUAAGUAUAGACAUAAAUAGAUAGAUAGACAAGAUAAGUAGAUAAGGUGAUAGGAAGCAACAUGAGGAACCUUCAUUAUAGGUCUGCUCUCUCUAUCUCUCUCUCCAUGUAUAUAUAUAAAACAGUAUCUCAUCAUUUCGAAGAGGAGAGAAGAGAGAAGAAACCAUAUUCUAUUCUAUUGCAGAUUCAAGAAACAAACCCAUUAUUGUACAAUAUCAGUCGGUGCAGAGGCAGGUGAACUUCUCAAGAUUCCAAUCUCAUCACUUUGUUCCGCCAAUAAACUAAGGUGGUUGGUGAAAUGACUCAUUUUUUUCUUUUCAAGUUGGGUGUGUCUCCUCCUAAUUAUGAUGUUGUCGUUCUAUACAUGUUGGCAUAUUCCGAGGGAUAGAAAGGCAACAUUGGAUAUACAUUUUUCAGGCAUACGGGUGGAAAUGUCAAUUUUCUUAGCUUAUAAAAGAUAAUUUUAAUGAUUUAUUAGUUUAUUAAAAAUCAUUAUGGUUAAGUAUAAAAAAAAUGUGAUCAAUUGUGCAUUUAGGUCUCAUUAUUUUGUAUAAACUUUCAUUCUUUUAUAUUUUGAUUUUAUUGUUUUUAUCGGGUCUUGAUUAUAUUAUUAAUCAACGACCUUAAUUUUAUUAUGUAUUUGGAUGGGAAGAUAGAUAAUAAACAUGUAAUCAUUUUUUGACGAGUCCAAAGUAAAUAAUAUCCCGUAUCAAUUCCUAAUGAAUAUUUUUCUCUUCAACUACACAAAACAAUUGAUUGACAUGAUAACAAAAUAUGAAUUGAUGAGAGCCAACUACUCAUUAAAUUUUUUGUCUUCCAAUAUUUACUUUUUAGUAAACGUUGUUGAAAAGUAAGAACAUGUACCCAAAUUUUUUUUUUUUUUUUCAAUUUUUAAGCUCUAUUUCAAGUCAGAAUAAGAUAGAAAGCAUAGUCAAACAAGUUAUAAAUUACUAGGAAGCUUCAUGAUAUAUUUGAAUGGCCCCCAUAGCAGUUGAAUCCAGCUUGCAAAUUUAGCCUAAUUUAGUACACCGCCAAUUUUUAUUCACCUCAAUGUUAAAUCAUAAUUAAUGUGCUCAACCAACUUGAAUCAAAUCAAUGGUGUGGUUUAUGGCUCAUGAACUACUUUUAAAUACAAGGAACCAAAUAAUCUCAUCAAAUCUAUUUUGCCUUUUUGUGUAACGCUUUGAAACUCCCUAAUUUAAUUUUAUCAUAUUAAUAGUUGAAGGAUGAAACCGACUCUUAUUCAAAUUCUAUAUUCUAUUUGAUAUAUUUUUUUUUAUAUAAGAGUUAUUUUUAUAUUAUAGAGUUUUUCUUGUAGGUGAAAGAAUUUUAAAAUAAAAAUGAAAGAAAGAAAAAACCCAAAAGGAAGCUUCCUUUUUUGUUAAAAGUGAGAUAAUUUCAAUUAAUGAAUUUAUAAGGAGAUAUUUAAAAGAAAAGUUAUUUAAAAAAUUUGUAAUUUUAAAAUUAUUUGAGAUGAAAUUAUAAAAAGGUUUAGAGGAGGAGCUUUUAGAAUUUGAAAUUCUUUUAUAUAUAAAUUAUAGAUGGUUUAAAAUAAUCCUUAUAUUUCAAAAAAUAAUAAUUGAUAAAAGGGUACUUUGAAAUUUUUGAUAGUGUGAGAAUUUUGUGAAGGUUUGAUUAUAUUUUAACUUUAAGAGUGAAGAAGAUAAAAGGGUAGGUAGCUUGAUAAACCAUAUCUUAAUUGACAAACAACCUAUUCAAUGGAGUCUAAGUCUUGAUUUUGGACUUGGACCAUCAAUACCCUAACAACUCUUUUACUUUGACCAAGAACUAGAAUAUAUAUAGGAUUGAUCCUACUAUUGUUAAGAAAUAUGUUAGACGUGCUUAAUCGAGUGAAAAUUUUGAUUCUAAAGGUAUUGUUUUAAAAUUUGAUGAUGUCUUUUAAUAAUUCAAGAGAUUGGUUUACUUUUCCGUAUUCUAUUUUGUCAAUUUGCCAUUUUUUUCAACACAUUUAACAUCACAUUGGAACCAUAUUCAAAGAUGUUGCUGUCAAUAAUGACAUGCAUGUAUAUCCUCAAGUUGAAUUUAGAGAAUUAAAAAACUCGGGAAUUCAAUUAUAAGUCAUAAACUGCAUCAUUAGCAAAAGAUUCUAACCUAGUGCUCAAUUAGGGAUUUUUUUUUUUUUUUUAAAAAAAAAAACAAAAAGUUGGAUAAAAUGCCACCAAAAUAUCUACCAUCCCAAGUAUUCCUAGGGUACACCAUGACGCCACUGAACCCUAAAUCCUAGUCAUGAAAAGACAAGGCAGGUGCUCUAAGGCCACAAUAAAUUUUCCACAUUCCCGUUCUCCCAACAAUACCAUAAGAUUUAUUACUCGGUCUUCCCUAAACUUGUAAGUCCUCCCACCACCUAUUUUAAAUUUAAAAUUUAAAUUUUUUUCAGAAAAACCAAAACCUAAGCCCAUUGGGAGUCUCAUUCAAGGGAGUUCCCGGAAAUGAAGGUAAAGUCCCUCAAUCUUAAUGCCAUUUGCCUUGGGCAGAAGACGACCUAUCAAUGCAUGCAUAUCCACAUCAAGGGUUGUAUCCUUAAUCCUUAUCUCUCUAGCUGGUUUCACCGACCUUUGUAAAUUAGGGGUCAAAGUUUAGUAUGGAAUAGCACUUUUUAGUACCAUAGUCAAUGUUCUUGUAUGAAUUAAUGUGAUCAAGAUUCGAAAAACAUGACAACAGAUUCGACUUUCAAUUCUGUUUAAAAUCACAUUCACCGACAAAUCACAAAUGAUAUUUAAAUGUACUUUUUUUUAUAUGAUAUGAUUUUGUUCCAAUUUAUAAUACCAAAUAAAUACGUAUCAAAAAGUAAAAUCAAUUAAAAGAAAUGUUACAUAAUACCUUAAUUAUAUUUAUUUAUAAAUCAACCCAAAUUUUUGAAAAAUCUAAUGAUUAAUAUGAUGUUUCUUAGAGAUACUAGACGAACGCAAAAUGAUAAAUACUUUUGAAGCAAAAUCAUGACGUAUACAUUCUUACAUAGGUGUACAUUUUGUGCGGUUAUUUAAUUUACACGAUCCAAGUCAUCAACCUCACCGCAUUUUCAUUUAAUAUAAGUACGUAAAAUUAAAUAGGAGACUGCCAAAUUCAAAUUCUAGUCAAUGCAAACCCUAAUCACCAUGUUGCAAUUUCAUUGUCGUACCAUGGUGACCUUACAAGAGGAUCCACAUGGAGCAUGCUCCUGAUAUAUCGCAAUCUCAUAAAUUUAAAAAACAAAUAAUAAAAAGGUGAUAAUUUUUUUUUAAAAAAAUUGGUACAUUAAAUGGAUGAAUAAUGAAGCCAGGCUGUAUGGAAAAGUUUGUGAAGAAAUGGUGAAAUUUUGGCCACGUGUUGGGAGUAUUUAUUGGGACUUCCCUUGUUUUUUUCAACCUUUUUUAAAAAAAAAAAAAUUUCUAUGGAGAGUACAUGAACAUUUAUUUCAAUGUAUAAAUGAAUCCCACAUGGGUCUUUUAUACACCUCCCUCUGUGACCAACGGUCCACAUUAAAUUGGCCUUACUUGCUACUGGGCACGUGCCAUGCACCCGGGGCUCAUGCUACUAGCCCUUGACAUCCGGAUGCCAGCUUUAGACAAGUUCGUUUAAUACUCAGAUUGGAUUUGGAUUGAAUUUUAUUCAUCACCUUGGACCAAAAGUUUUGGCUUCCUAACCCAAAUUCGAUCUAUACAACCCAAGCAACCCAUUCAAUCCAAAUAUAAGCCAAGUUUGGAAAACCGAGGUGGAUCGGACAUUGAGCAUUUUGGGUUAAGAGGUUAGGUUAGAUUUGAGUUGAAUGUUUAUUAAUUCGGAUCAGACUAGAAUUAAGUGCAAAAUCAAAUCAACCCAACCGAGUUGCUGCCUUAAUCCCAAGUGGUUUUUCACACCCCUUAGUAUUCUAAAUUUUUAAUGAUAUUAAAAUAAAUUGAUCUAUAAAUACAUAAAUAAUUUCUUAAAACCUUCCAAAUAUGUCUUAUUAGGAGGCAGACCUACGCCCACCCGAUUGUCAUCCCUUGCAAGGGUAGGGGCAUGGGCUUCAUUGCUCAGGCCGAUCUAAACCAGCGAGAGCCCUUGCCCGGGCUGCGCUUAUAUAUGGACCAGGCUUCAAGCAAAUGGACCAAAUUUCCACCCCUAAGUCAUAGCAGAUUCAUUUGCCUUGGGCAAUGCCAAUCAAGAAUUUCAAAACUUGGGCCGUCUUUGGGCUUUGCUCACAACCACCCGGCCUUGCCGCAUUCAGCCCAAAAUCACAGCCCCAAGCUCAGGGCAACCAAUAAAAUUCUCAAAUAUCCUGAAUGGCUAUGAUUUCCAUACAACCAUGAGCUUAUGAAAUGAAAACCCCACUUCAAUCCUACAAAUUUAUUUCCCAGAUCAUUUUCCGGAAUGGCCAUGAUUUCCAAACAAUACCCAACAGACUGGUAAUCCAAACAAAAGACUAGGGGUCAAUUUAACUAAGUUUUCAAAAACAGUUCUCAAAAAUCAAUUUCCAAAAAUUAUUUUCAGGAUCAAAAUCUGUUUGAAAACAGUAUGUAUUAUCUGUGAAAGCAUCAUACAAUUAUGCACAAGGGGAAUGCUCUCAGCCUAUUCUCCAUGUUUUGAAAUGUUUAUCAAGACACUAAAAAACGCCUUACAUUUAUUCUAAAAAGUCACCCUAUUUUCGAAACAAAUUCUCAAAAAACAUUGUUCAGUUCAACAUUUGCCAAACGUGUUCUUAAAGUUGGAUGACUCUUUUCUAUUUUAAAGAACACGGCCAUUUUUAAAAACAGUUGCAAAAUGGGCUCUAAACCAUCUUGGAAAACAAGGGAACAUGGUUUGAAAUUAACAGAAGGCAUGGUACCUGAAAACUAUAUGCAGAUGAAUGGAAAAUUAGAAGCAAUGCCCGAUGGGGAACUUUUCCUCCUUGAUCUACUCCACAUUUCACACUGCAUCAACAAAAUGUUUUCCAUGGAAUUCUCAAGGUUUCAAAACUUAAUUUCAGACGCUUUAAACGCCAUAGUGCAAAUUUUGUAAGGCUUCCUACAUGAAGUUGUUUCUAAGAUACCAUGAAUUGAUGCUUCAUCCUGUUGAAGCUCGCUUCAAAAUAUUGACCCACCAGCAAUUCAACUAUCAAGCCUACAAAAAGGAUUCUAUCAUCAGAAAAAUCUUAGCAAAAAGUCUAUGAACACAUCACCCACUGUUUUACAGAACAUAGAUUUCAGUUUGUAGCUUAGUAGCAAACUGUUUAUCGAGUUCCCAAACUUCAGUUUUGAAGUUGGUGACAAACUUUAUGGUCCGCCAGGCUCAAUAAUCAUACCAACCCUUUUCUCCAGAUGAGUUUGGGAACAAACAUACCAGUUUGUUAAUCAAACCCACCUUCAUAAUAUUGAUCAAAACCAAACCUACCAGGGGGCAAGUUCAAAAUGUAAUCUAAAUAACCAUAUUGAUCAUCAAGGAAUCCAUCACCAUCACCAAAUCUUAACAAACAGUCUAUAAACAUAUCACCCACUAGAACAUGGAUUUCAGUUUGUAGCUUAGUAGGAAACUGUUUAUCAAGUUCCCAAACCUCAGUUUUGAAGUUGGAAACGAACUUUAUGAUCCGCUAGGCUCAUUAUGCAUACCAACCCUUUUGUCUAGAUGGGUUUGGGAACAAAUAUACUAGUUUUCUAAUCAAACCCACCUUCAUAAGAUACAUCGAAACCAAAUCUACUGGAGGACAAUAUCAAGAUGUAAUCUAAAUAAUUGCAUUGCACAUUAAGGAUUGAUAUGCUAGUAGAGAAAUGCACCUGAUGUCAAAUCAAGUAUGAAUACUAUACUGGCAUUGUCAAUUGCUGGCAUGGGGCCUCAAUACUAAUGCAAUUAAGUUAUACAAACCAAGCAUCGAAAUGGUUUGCUAAAAUGUACAGCCAUUAAUAUGGAAUUUUUACAUUUUCAAAACUAAAUAUAAUAUAUACGAAAUGGGCAGUUAACAUGGUGAGUGUUAAUAUCAAAGUUAAUAGAAGAGAUAAGGCACACCUAGUAACAGGAUGUAACAGGACUAGACGAACAAAUCCACUUACACUUCCGAAAACAUUUCAACAAUGUGUGGGCAUUACAGGCAGCAAUAAAGAUGUAACAUUUAAGCUGCAAAGCGGAUCCCAACAUUUACUUUUGCACAUUGAGAUAAGGUAACCGAUCAUUCAAUGGUCACAGAACCUUAGUACUAGUGCAAUCUAAUCACUAUAUUAACAUCAAAGUUGAUAAAAGUAAAGCACAUUGCAGUAGAAGAAUCAAUUGGACCAAAUUUCAGUUUUGUCUCAAGCAAAUACAAUUAGGUUUCUCUGUGGCCUAAAAUUCGGGAAUAGUUUCGGGAAAUUACAGGCAACCGAAACAUGUUAUGUUUAAGCUGCAAAGCGGAUUCCCCCAUUUCUUUUUGCACAUCAAGAUUAGGUAACUGAUCGUUCAAUGAUCAUGAAACCUCUUUACUAAUGCAGUUUAUUCACUUUACAUUGAGUCUAAACCAUAUACUAAAACCUCAAAAUCAUAUAUCAUAAGGGAGCUCAGCUAUUCCAUUGACCCAUCACAACAGAAAGGAUUAUGAUCUCAACCCAAAAGCACUUAAUACAAAAUGGGUGGAAACCCAGCUGCCAUAUUGAAGUCAACUCACAUUUAGGCUAUUCUGCAGCAUCUUCUUAUAAACCCUAAAAAUUCCAACCACAAAAUACAGAUAAGCAGAUAGAUAUGCAGUGAUACACUGCACCCUUUCAUGGAAACACCAUGAUAAAUCAGCAAAUACCCUAUUGAAUCGUUCCAUUCGUGCUAAAUAAUCCCAAGAGGUAAGAAUACAACUAAAUAGAACAAUUUCAAACCCAAAAAUGAAAUACCCAGAUUCAGUCUGACCCCAAACAUACAAAAUUGAUCAUAAAAAGCAAAGAAAACAGAAUGGUUUGUAGCAUAAAGCUGGUUCAACUCAUAAAAUAUAACAUCUAUUCUUAGGGUUUUUCACUUCUUAAACCCUUGCUCCAUGCUUUCUUGUGGACUCAGGAGGUGAAGAUGGUAUUUAUAAGCAUUUCAUGUUAGGGCAAGGGAGGCACCCAGACGAGAAGUGAGAUCAACCGUCAGGAAAAAAAGUAGGAGAAUCACACGGUAGAGAGAUUUGGAUGAUAUUUCUACCGUUUUAUUUUCAUUUUCAAAUGUAAAAAAGUGUAUGGUGAUUUUGAUAUUUCAAAAUUAUUAAAUAUUUUUCUUUUAUUUAAUUAUUUUUAUAUUUAAUAAAAACAUUUUUAAAAAUACAAUUUCAAACAUAAAGUUUAAUCGUUGUAUUCUACUUGUUUGAUCUAUUUCCCUAUAUUAUAAUAAGAACUGGGCCGAGCUGGGUUGGGUUGGGCCCAACAGCUUAUAUUCUAACCCUAAUUUCCCUGCAAUUUUGAAGUCGGGGAGAGAGGUUUUGAGCUUUUGGGGUGCAACCAUGGCGACGAUGCUAAAGUGCGCAGCGGACAAUUUGAGGUGCAGGUUAAUCAGUAGCAGAGGGCUCAGCCACCAUGCGGCUAUAUCAGCGCCUUUGGGGAGGAUGAUGGACUGUACAACCGGACUACAGUUCGUUCUGCCUGAGUCAAACAAUGAGUCACAGGAAGACCCCAAAAUCGAAUUACCCAAUCCCUAUUUUUCUGGUUCUAUGGAGCUUAUGGCUGUCCCAAAGAGAAAGGUCGGUUUUCUGUAUCGAUUGUUGGUUAGUUUAAGCAUUUGGGUCUUUCAGAUUUUAAUCAUUGACUUCUGGGUUGUCCUGUGAUUAGGUUGUCAUCUCAUUUCAAAAUUGAAUUCGAGGUGUUUUUACUGUUUUGAGUAUAGAUUAUACUGGUAGGAGGUGAGCAGGAAAUCAUUAUAAAGUAAAGUUUCUGUAUAAUGUGAUGUAGAUUUUUUUUCGGGGUCGUGGGAUGGCUGGUUAAGCGUUUGGGUCUUUCGAAUUUUGAGCAUUGAUUGUUGGGGUGUCCAACGACUUGGCUUUUAUAUCGUUUCAUAAGUGAAUUUUGAGGUAUUUUGCCCCUUCUGGAUAUUGACCAUACUUGUAGUAAGUGGGAAGAAAUUAAUAUAAAUUAAAGGUUUUAUGUGGUGUGUUGUUGAUUUCAUUCUUGGGUAUUGAUUGUUAUCUGGUUUAAGCAUAUGGGUUUUCAUAUUUUGAGCAUUGAAAGUUUUGUUGUCCAAUGGCUUUACGUCCACCCUAUUUCAGUAGUGAAUUUUGAAUUGUUUUUGCUUCUUUGAGUGUUGAUUAUGAUUGUGGUAGGUGAGCAGGAAAUAAGUCAUUGAGUAUAAAUCAAAGGUUCUGUCUAAUGUGUUAUUGAUUUCUUUUUUUGGUGUCAAUUGCUGGCUGAUUUAUCAUUUGGGGAUUCCAUAUUUUGAGCACUGAUUGUUGGGUUGUCCAAUGAUCUGGAUUUAAUCUGGUGUCAGCAGUGAAUUUUGAGGUGUCUCCUUUGAAUAUUGAUUAUACUGAUGUUCAGUGAGCGGGAAGCGAGUAUAAAUUAAUAUACUGAAAAAAUCAUAUUAGUUUAAGAGCUUGUGUAAUACAUGCAUAAUAAAUCUAAAUCUAGAAAAUGAAAUCUUGAAUUAGAAUUCCCGGGAUGGAUGAGCUAACAUGCGAAAUCUUGAUAUCUAGACCUAUAAUGAGAGAAGGAAUGCAAUAUUUUAUCGGAAAAUUAAAUCCAUUACAGAAUAGGUUUAUGGAUGUUAAUUAAAUAUGGAUGAUCAAAACAAACUGUUUUACAAAAAUCGGUGAUGAUCAAACCACACUUUAUCUUCCCAAUGCAACAAAACCAAGCACAGUUGUGAAUUCAUAAUUUCGGUUUUCCAUACAUAAAAUAGGAAUCAGUGAAUGGUAUCAUUUCAAGUCACACAAUUACAGGUAGGCCUAUAUUGUGAAAGCUCUGCUUGCAUUGUAAAGAAGCCUGGAUUGAGGAAAAAAUUUAUAAAGAAAAAAGUGUACAUACUCACACCCAGAUUUUUAAUGUGCUAUUUGGGGUUUUUCUUAUUUAUUUCAUUUAUUUUAGGUGAUGAAAAUUUGUUACUUUCUGAUCUCAAAGCUAACUAUAUGUCCUAAAUAUGCAGGUGUCUCGCCAUAAAAGAGGCAUAAGAAAUGGACCAAAGGCUCUGAAACCUGUUCCAGUCAUAAUCCGGUGCAAGUAAGGGCACUGAUUUUUUAGUUAUUCAAAUAGAAAAUUCAACAUGUAAAUAUACUAUGAAGGCCAAUAAACACUGAACUUAAUUGAAUGUUUUCCUCAGAUAGACUAACACCUGACUAAGCGGAUAUUUGAAUUUUUUCCUUUUUUAAUAUACUAAGGGGUGAUUGGUGUAAGCACCAGUUUUGUGUUGAUUAAAUUUAUCUAGGAAAAAAACUCGAGCAAAGGCUGUCUCAAAUGCCUUGUCUUGUUGCAUAAGAAAGAAAGGGACAAUUGUUCAUUAGUUUCUUUAGUGUCAUUUUCCCUUUUAGUUCAUUAUAUAAGUUGUAUUGUGCUUUUUUCUAAGACUAUUAGUGGUCUAUUUACUAUGUAAUAGAAUUUGUAGUGCAAGUGGUGCAGUAAAUUUCUUAGCUUCAUUAUCUUGAAAUCAUUUCUGUCCAAAAAUUACGAUAAAGUAAAUCAUUUCAAGUAAAGUGAGAUAAGGAAACAUUAAAUAUUUAAAUAUGAUUUUUGGACAAGAAGAGGUGUAAAUGCAAUGUUAGAGCAAGUUGCAUGUAUCUAAAAAUAUCCCUAGUAUAGUCCUUGCUUUUUAGCCAUUGCUUUUUAACAUGAAUGAUAGACACAGAAUACAUCAUCCACCUCUAAAAUGAUUAUCAUGUGCUUUUAAAAAGAUGCAUGAACUUAGGCAACUUGGUCUUCUAGUUGGUAUUAAUCUCAUGUGCAUGCAUAAAGAGUUUUUCAAGUUUUUUGUUUCUUCCUUCUGAUUUGUGAAGCAUGUCAUAGUUUUAAACCUCAAAAUACAAUUUCCACGUUCUAUGUACGUAAAAGUUGGACGAUUGUUUUAGUUUGGGAUAUGGAUGAGAAAAUAAGAAUUGGUCCACCCUGACUUAAGUUUUUAGAAUUGGUAUGCUCCUAAUCAUCUCUAUUUUGACAUGUCAUACAUUUUAAAUUAAGGAAAAUUAGCUUAUUUAAAAUUUAUUUUGAAAUUGUCUCUCCUAAGAAUGACUCUGCUUCAAGAGAUGCACUUGUCUCAUAUUAUGAACAAACCAUCCCUGCAGCUAAAACUGCUGAUUACCAAAAUCAAGCUGAUCUAGCAUUAAAGAAAUUCGUUUUUGCUAAACAAAUCUUGAAUUUUUGUUUCUACACGAGAAACUAGACUUGAAAUUUGCCUCAUUUAGGCAUUUGGGAGCUUUCCAUAUGUAUUUUAGGUAUUGUUCCUUUGCUCUUUGCCCAGUAGGAUGAACAGACAUACAAACUAUAGUUAAUAACAACUUAGCUUAUUAUACAGACCCUUUGGCUUAUUUCAUCUUAUUUCAGUGUCUCAGACUUAUUUUUUCUCUUCAGUCGCAAGAAUACACAUUUGAAUUUUGCUUGCUCUUGUUUCUAUUUUCUUUUUGAGCCUUCUCUUCUUGCAUGACCCCCCCCCCCCCCCCCCUUGGCUUGAUAUUCACCUUCUCCUUAUCAGAGAGGAUGCGGUGUACUGCACAAUUUGGAUUUUUAUUUUCAUUAUUCAUUCUUUGUCCAGGAGCUGUGGCCGAGUCAAGCUACCACACUUUUACUGUUGCAGUGGAGAUAGAGGGGGAUCAGGGGAAGGGAAUUAGUCAGCUUUUUGUCCAUGUUUGCUGCAAAUGAAGCUAGACAUUAUGGUCCAAGCAACUGAAUCACGAAGUUCCAUCGGUUUAUAUUCCUCUUUAAACAUAUUGCAGAACUCUCAAUUGCAAAUUUUUGAAGCACAUAUCAUCUGUUGAUGUUUUCAUAAAUUAGCUGAUUGGUCUCAAUUAUUUUCCCACAGAGUUUAAGCUAUUAUAGGUCAUUCCUGAAAAGGAAAAACACAUUCACUGACAGUUCUGUCAGUCUUUAUUUUUUUUUGUUUUCUCACUUUUGAUUCAUGAUUCUAGGGGCUUGCGGAAUUCCCACAGGAAUCCAACCAUGAAAACCUGGACCAACUCAACAAGCUUUCUUUAUUAGAAUUUCAAUUCUCCCCAUUCUUCAACCCCAUGCCCUUCAAGGUAGCAAAGAAAGCUUCUGUAUCACAUUUGUCUUACAGGUUUAAAGAUGUAAAAGGGGUGAGGCGUGGUCAAGGACUCCUUGUCUCAUCCCUGCUUGUAAAUUUUUUCCCCAUCCCUGCUGCCAUUCUGCGUUUUAGGCUAGAAGAGUUCCAGGGGGACAAGUUCCCCAUUCCCCUCUUGAAAUUCACAUUUAAUAAUAUGAUCUGGCCGGAUUCUGGGUGGGGAAUAUAGGGUCCUGGUCCUCAACCCUGCCUCGUUCUGGGUGGAUUCCAGUGAAGACCUGAUCCUAUUGGUUUUUUUCUUCUUUUUUUGGGGCAUCCUUCCCAUCCCUAUUAAGGUUACACAGGUCAGAACCUACUAACAUGUCAUUAGCGUAGGUUGUUAGUAUUUCCUACUUUGAGAAAGGUAUCAAACGAAUCUACCAACUUGAAAAUGCUGUCAAUUGAUUCCACUACCCCCACCCCAAUUGCUUGAAGCUAGUCACUUGAGCCACAGAAAGGAAAAAAUGCCUUGGAGUCUUUGACAAACACCUCCACAGCUCAUAACAUUUUGUCUCUUUCUCUAUUGUUCCAUUCGUACUACACCCAACCUUGAUUUGUUUGUUAUUACCUUUUUUAUAUUUAUUUUCGGCGACAUGGGUCCAUCCCUUUACCCUACAUUGUUUAAAUAUCUGGAAAUUUGAACUAGGGACCUUUCGAUCAUUGUUUCAGGACACGAUCUACGCUCUAGGAGCUAGCUUCCCAUUUCUUUGGUUUGAUCAUGUUCAUAUGAUCAGAGAGGACUUAUGAUCAAUUUAUACAUGAUUUCAUGAUUUGAAUGUUUAUCAUGAAUUUCCCUUUCUGCACUGGAGUUAUUAUAUCAUGUCUUGGACUUUCUUCUUUCACAGAUGUUGAUUUUUUCAUAUGAUUUUUCGUGCUAAUUUUCAUGAUCCCUAUAUGGUCUGUAUGAAUCUUCAAGCAAUUCUCAAAUGACGAGGUUCUGUUUCUCAUUUAAAUUAAAUUUAUUUAAAAAAUAAAUAAGGAAAAAGUACAGGAACUUAAUCAUUGUAAUAUGUCAGAACAGGAAAGGAAUCAUAAAAUUCAUUGAACCCACCAUAGUACACGGUAUUGCCAAUUACGGCGUCAUUUUUCCUCAGUUCAUGAUUGGAUCACCUGCUCCAGCAAGUACCUAUCGCCCCCUCGCGAUUUGAUUGGAUGAAUUUCAAAACAACUAUUAAACUUCGUCCUUUUAUUGGUUUGUGAGUUCCAAAGCGUCACAGUGGGCCUAGCAAAGAGCGUCGACAAACUAACCCUAGUUAGUUUAAAACAUUUAAUUGUGGUUAGAAAAUGUUCAAUUUACAUUUCUCACUCCCUAUUUUUUUUUUUUAAGAAUUACAAAGUUUAUCAGGUGAUUUUUGAAAUUACCAUAUCCUCAUUUCCUUUUAAAAAAUAUAAAAAUUCAGAAAAUAUCGCUAUAGAAUUUUAUGCUAUAUUUCAAAUUAGAUACAAUAAUUAUGAAGGAAGAGAGUGAUUGUCGAUAAAAUAUUAGUACCCUCUCGGACAAGUGGAUAUUUUUUAUAUAUAAAGUUAGUAGAUUUUUUAAUACUAACGAAGUCAUGGAUUUUUUCUUUAAUAAAAAAAGAAGAGUAAUAUAAGAUAGUAGUUUGAGUUGGCCACUAAUCAACGACAAAUGUGCUUAUAUCACAUAUUAUCAAAUAAACCCUAAACAUAAAAAAAUAAUUUAUCCGACACAAUAAACAAAUGGUUAUUUGUCAUUAUAUUUAUUAUUUUUAUUUAAAGGUUUUCUUGACAUGACUACUUUUUACAUUUACAAUUUUUUUUUCUUACCUCGGACUUAGUGCUUACAUAAGAUAAAAUAUUAUUAAUAUAUUUUGAUAUUAGAUAGCUACUUACCACCUGCCAAGUUGCCAGUAUUUUUUUUUUUUUUUAUUUUAUGAAAUUACCAAACACAUUUUUUUUAUUUGUUUAAAAAAAACAAAGUUUACCAAACAAGUUUAUUAUUAAUAAGAAAAAAACUUUAAUUAAAAAUAAUGCUUUUGGAAAAAAAAGGAGGGUUUUCAUGACAAACUUUAAUUAUAAAAGGGGAAGUUUGCAAUUGGGAAAACCUAAGGGAGGAAAUUAUAAUUAGAGUAAAACGACAAAGAGAGGCGCUUAUUUGAAUGGUGAGAGAGGUUUCUGGAGAUUGUUGAAUCAUUUCAGAGAAGACAGCGAUCUUGAUCCAUGGCUGUCUCUAGCUGCCCUAGGGUUUCCGCCGCCUUCGAGUGCCGUUCCGAACCAGACUUCUGCGGCGGACCUCAUCGCCCGGAAGCUUUUGCCUCUGGCGGCCGAUUCUCCGGCAAGGCAAGCUCGGUGCCGAGUCACCAAAUUUUCGGUGCCUCCGCUCUGUCUUCUUUGAUCUUCCGAUUCCCUCCGAACUUUGUGCGCCAGCUCAGCACCAAGGCUCGGAGGAACUGCAGCAACAUCGGCGUCGCGCAGGUCGUUGCGGCUUCUUGGUCAGCUGACUCGGCCGCCGCCGCCGCCGCCUCCGCCUCCGCCGCAGCCGCUGCGUCGGUGGAGGCGUCGGUGGAGGUUUCGGUGGUGGAGAGUAGUGGUAGUGAUGUACAGUAUGAGGAUUUGGCCGAUGAGAAGGCCUCAUUUUUGGGUUUUGAUGGGACCCUUACUAUUCAUGCUGGUAUAUAUAUCUCUCUCUGUUUCCAUCCUUCUAUUUUGAUUCUCCGCUUUUGUGUUUCUUUUGUUUUAAGGAUUUGUCUUUUUCUUUUUAUGUUUAAUCUGUGCGUCUUGGUUUUGUUUGGUAGAUAGAUUUGGUUUCGUUUUGUUGUUUGUAGCGUCCAAUUUGACGGAUUUAACCAUUUUCAUGGACAUCUGAGAUGGUAUGGCUUGCCUCAAUGGGAUUUUCUAGGAAGGGUUGAACUCUCUGGUGAAUAUAAUUAGGAAAGUCAGCCGAUUAAUUGAUUCUUUAUCUGGGUUGGAACUCUUGUAUUUUCUUGGUUUUGUGGGCUUUUAUCUGUAAUUCAUGCGUCCAUUUCUGGUUGACGCCGCCACGCCUAAUGGACUUUUGCAGAGCUCAGCUCGCUGGUCUGAACCAUGGUCAGAACAAAAAAACUGGCUGACCUGUUGUGUAAAGCCUUGGUCAAUCUGUAUUAUUUAUAAAAUAUAUCAUCCAAAACAAAAAGUUCCUUUUCUCCCUUUUAUCCGUCUCAAAGUGCAUUUUUUUUUUGUAAUGAAAUGAAUUUGGCAUAUUUGUUAAGCCCUUCUUUUUACAUGCAUCUUGUUUAUUAUUUAUUUUGGGGGUUAGCCACUCAGUGAUGUUGCCUUUGGUUUGAGCAGGUGAAAGAUUAGGUCGCGGCAUAGUUACUGAUGCAAUUACUACCCCAGUGGUCAAUACUUCUGCUUACUUUUUCAAGAAAACUGCUGAGCUCAUUGAUUUCAAGGUAUGCGUUCUACUGAAACGAAAUCCAUUGCUACAUCUCAUUAUUCAUUUAGAAAUGAAAAGAAUGUGUCUCUGAACUUUUGAUAGGAGAAACGCCGGGCAAGUUUUGAAUAUGGGCGUUAUGGAAAUCCAACAACGGUGGUUCUGGAGGAGAAGAUAAGGUUUACACUCCAUUCUAAUACUUUUUUGUUGGUAGAACCCAUUUGAUCCAAUUUUUAAUGAGGUCCUUCUCUCUCUCUGGAACAGUGCACUUGAGGGGGCUGAAUCAACUGUGAUAAUGGCAUCUGGAAUGUGUGCUAGUACAGUUAUGUUGCUGGCAUUGGUUCCACCUGGUGGGCAUAUGGUGACAACCACAGAUUGUUAUAGGAGGACAAGGAUUUUUAUUGAAACCUUUCUGCCUAAAUUGGGGGUUGAGGUAUUGUUUUCAUCCCCAUUUUCUUGAUUUACGUGUUAAGUUGUCCGGGUGGGGGGAUGGAAGGGAUGCAAAGUUGUGUUUGUUAUAAUGAUUUCAAUAAAUCAGUAUAUUGUUCAAUAUAUGAACAGUUCCAUCAUCUCAUCGAGUAUUUUCCAUGUUUAGAAACCUUCCUGUGGGGAUUUUUCUAUGACAAUGUACUUUUUAAUUUUGUAAACUUCCAUGAGCGCUUAUGUUCAUAAUAACUGAAAUGCAGGUAACUGUCAUCGACCCUGCUGAUACGGAAGCUCUGAAAUCUGCACUGGAUAAGAACAAUGUCAGUAUUCAAGAUGGUUGUUAGUUUUUCGAAGUUUUCUUUUCAGUAAUCAUUUUUCAAAUGGCAGGUCAUACUGAGAUGACUGACAUUGUCACAUGCAGGUUACACUUUUCUUCACUGAGUCUCCGACCAAUCCAUUUCUCAGAUGUGUUGACAUUGAGUUGGUUUCAGAGCUUUGCCACAGGAAGGGAGCACUAGUCUGCAUAGACAGUACUUUUGCAACACCUCUCAACCAGAAGACCCUUUCUCUUGGGGCUGAUCUCGUGCUGCAUUCUGCAACAAAAUAUAUUGCAGGACACAAUGAUGUAGGUCAAAUUGCAUUGGUGAAUGUAGUUGGUUAAAAGAGUAGUUUUAAUCAGUCCAUAGAGUACCAUAAUCUUAGCAUUAAACAAGCAGAUUUCUGUGCCAGGUAAUUGCAGGUUGCAUUAGUGGUUCUGAAAAGUUGGUUUCAACUAUUCGGAAUUUGCAUCAUGUUCUGGGUGGUGUUCUCAACCCGGUGAGUAAUCUUUUAGUGUUGUCAGGAUAACCUAUGCUGUUUUCAACCUUUCUUACACACUGACUACUGGCAGAGAUGUGAUGUAAAUUUGGAACUUGUUAACAAUGCAGGCAUUAUUAAUCAGAUAUAUUUUUAGACUUCUAAACUAGAUGUUUGUGGUGGUGUGUAAAACAUGAUGUGCAUAUGGGUGCUUAUGAGUUUCUUUAAGAUUUUCCUACAAGGAAUUCUUGAAGUUGAAGAACUGUAAAUCUUAUUUAUUCCACUGCAAGUCUUAUGCAGCUUGAGCCUGAAUCAUAAUAACUUGUUUUUUAAAUUUAUUUUUAUCAGAAUGCCGCAUAUCUGAUCAUCCGAGGCAUGAAGACACUGCAUCUUCGUGUACAGCAACAAAAUUCAACAGCAUUGAGGAUGGCCAAGAUUUUAGAGGCCCAUCCUAAGGUGCAUUUCAAUUCUAGAAAUUUCAUACUUCACCUCUUGUUUUUCUAAUUUCUGUUGAUAAAGAACCUACUGUGGCGUUGCUAGUAUUACUGAAUCUGGCAUGUAAACAUGUAGGAAGUUUUUGCCUGCAGAAUUAUGCUGGAAUUAAGUAUUAGAAGCAUCACAAUGGUGAUGAGAUGACGCUCUAUCUUUAAAAAUAAUUUGCAGCUAGCACAAUCAAUGCCCUAUAAGUUUUUGUAUCUGUCAUUAUGGAGCUUCAUUGGUUAUGCGCAGACAGCAAAUACGUAGGAGUCAUGCCUAUGUAUAUGCAUGGGGAAAGACAGUACACUAUCAUAAAAUGAGAAGGCUUUGAAUCAGACUUUAUCUUUAUUUUUAUUUUAAAAGAAGGCCAUCUUUAUUGGAUUUGCUUCAUGCUAAACAAUUUAUGCAUAUAUAAUUUGAUAAAAGCUAAUAAAACCUUAUUUUAGAACAUUAAAUAGAGACCAUCCAUAUUAUAUUUUUCAAUAAUAGUUUUAAUGACUCCUAAUUUAAUAUCACCACACCACAACCAACCAAGUCACUACAGACUACCAUUAGAGUUGCUACCGCCUACAGCAUUUUCAGUCUGUAAAUUUAGUGUUUAACUGGAUCCGCAUUGCAAUCACUACUCACUCUGCUGCCACCUCAAUGCAGUGAGUAGGAAACCACCACUGCAGGAUAACCAUGCCUCAAAGCCCAUUGCCACUGCCACCUCAGAGCUGGGAAUUCCCACCCUUACACCACACCAUGAUGAUGCAGCCCACCACACACCACACCACCCUAUGUGACUGCCUUUGUCAUGACUUGAUCCUCACUAGUAAAUACUGUUUGAAUAACUUGAUCCACAAUCAUUGAUGCCAACUUACCUAGUUUUACCUCUGCUAUUUUCAUCAGGCCCAUUAAACUGCAUCAGAUCACCACUAUAGGGAAAUUAUUAACUCAUUUUUCUAUGUUCCUGAGGUACCUGAAGUUUGUGCAUAAUUUGCUUGUCUGCCUGUUUAUCUCUUUAAUUAAUUUCUCUUGUACCACAUGCUGCUAUUUUCCAAUUCUCAUUGUGCAUCUAGUCCAUCAAAAGCUGUUAACUUCAAUAUAAAGCAGUAAGGUUGCAAGAAUCCGUAUGAAAAAUUGCAUUCUUCAAAAUAUAAUCAUUUACCAUCUUAAUCUGUGAGACCCUGAUUGAUAGAUCAUUGGCAGGUGAAAUGCGUCUAUUAUCCAGGCUUGCCAAGUCACCCUGAACAUCAUAUUGCCAAGCGACAGAUGACUGGUUUUGGUGGAGUAGUCAGUUUUGAGGUAAGCAUUUGUAACCAUUUUCAUGUGCUGGUGUGAGGUUGUUCAUCUGGAAGUUGGAUUUUAAGUGCUUAUUGCUAUUUAAAUUUGCAGGUUGAUGGAGACUUAACCACCACCAUCAAGUUUGUUGAUGCAUUGAAAAUCCCUUAUAUUGCCCCAUCCUUCGGAGGCUGUGAGAGCAUUGUUGAUCAGCCUGCGAUUAUGUCUUACUGGUAUUCCCCUUCAUUCCUCUCAUGUAGUAGCAUAAAUGAAUACCCCUGUUUGGCAUUGGUCUCACUGAAUAAUCACAAGACUUGCACAUUGGGUUUCACCUUGUCCUUGUUACUUGGUUCUGAUUCUUUUAAUUGAAUUGUUCGUGCUUUCCAAAACAGGGAUCUUAACCAGUCGGAGAGAGCUAAGUAUGGUAUCCAGGACAACUUGGUUCGGUUCAGCUUUGGAGUUGAAGACUUUGAAGACUUGAAGGCUGACAUACUCCAGGCUCUGGAGAGCAUAUAGGGCGCGGCACCUACAAGUUCUGACACCUUCUGUUUUCCUUAUUUUUAGUGUUCUGUUUUCCUUAUUUUUAGUGUUUUAAUAGCUGAAUGUUGUCUUCUUUCUUUUGUGGUGGAUCAUCAUGAAACGAAUUGAUCCCAUUAAUAACUCAAUGCUCCUUCAGGACGAUGUUUUUCUUUGUUGUGGUAUUGAAGCUUCCUAUUCUUGAACUUGAACGAUGGAAAAGCCUAAAUGAAAGAAAUAAAGAGGGAAAAUGAAGGUUUGGUUAGUAGUAGUAUGUCUGAUCAUUCCAAAACCUUCUUCAAUCUAAAUUCAUGGCCAGGAUUAUCUAUGAAAUCACAAAAGCACUCCAUCAAAUAAAUAUAAAUCUAAAAUGUUUUACGGGCUUGAUUUGAAUGGUCAUUGUCACCUUAUAAUGUUAUAAUCUACCAUUUCUAUGAAUUUGUCAUUGUCACCUUAAUAAUGUUUCAAUGUACCAUUUUUAUGAAGCGUACCAGCUGUUGUGAUCUAGAAGCAGACAAAGAGGGACGGCUUCUGUCACUUACGGCUACUUAGCAGAAGCCAUGGAAAUAAGUCAUUUCGAGAACAGAAAGUCGAAACAAACAAUUCUUUCGUCGUCUUCCAACCUUGACUCUACUCUCUGGAUCCGGAUUUUUCACGUACAUUUUCAUUGGAGCAUUCGAUGGCAAGAUUAGUUUUAUAACUUUUAUUGUAAAAAAUAAAAUAGAUUUUUGGAAAGUUAGAAUCGUGGAGUAUUUUAUUUAUUUAUAAAAGGGAAAACAGAAUAUAAAAGAAAUAAUACUUGCAAUUUCUUAUUUUAAAAAGAAAUUCUAUUGACUCAGGUUAGGUUAUCCAUCCAAAGCGUACAAAGAUAAAUUGUAACACCUUUUUAAACUCAAAUAAAUAUGAUUUCUGACCUGUAAAAUGUAAACUUUAUUCCUUAUUUACAUGUUAAUAAGUUAAACUUUAUUCAUUAUUCCUUUUAAAUAAAAUAUUAUUAAUAAGUAUUAUUUUAAAUUAUUAUUAUCAUUUAUUUUUAACCAGAAAAAAAUUAUAAAGAUUCUAAUAUAGUUAAGUUUUUAACAUAUACUAAAAUAAUAUAUUUUUUCUUAAAAAAUAUAAUUUAUGAUUUUAUUAUAAUACUAUUAUUCAUGAUUUACUAAAAACUAUUUAUUUUUUAAUUUAUUUGUAAUUACAAACUAGUUUUAUUUUUAAAUUUUAAUUUGUAUUAUAUAAAUUGAAUUUGUAAUGUUUUUAUAAAACCAAAACAAAAAAAUUAUUUUUAAAAAUAACUUAUUCAAAUAAGCUUUUUAUUUUUUUAUUUUUAAAAACAAUUUAUCAAACACCCUUAUUUUUAUAAAACACUACAAAAUUUAUUUUUAUUUUUAACUUAAAAACAGUUUUUAAAAAUAAAUUUUGAAAAACAUGGCCAAACAUAUUUGAUAAAACUUUGAAAAUUAUUUUCUAAAAUAUAAAAAAUGGGAGAUAUGAUUAUUAAAAACAUUCUGGAAGUAUUUAUUUAUAUGCCAAGAUCGAGUAAUUCUCCUUCAAAUUAUUUGAAGUGAAAGCAUUAGUGAAAACUUUAAUGAUGAAGUGGUAGAAUUUUUGGAUGGAAAAAUGACGAAAUAGUUGGUAACAUCAUCCGUCGGAAAGAUGCCAAUCCAAACAGGUAUUUUAUCCAAUCUCAAAGAUUCCGAAAUUCCUCCUCCCCAACUCCCCUCUCUCUAACCAUUUUUGCUCUAGCCUUCUCCCUACGCCUCUUCUUUACCCCACGCCACAGUUGCUUUGCUGGCGGCCACACCGCGAUGAAAUUCGGCAAGGAGUUCCGGACCCACCUGGAGGAGACCCUGCCGGAGUGGAGGGACAAGUUUCUCUGCUACAAGCCCUUGAAAAAGCUUCUCAAAACCAUCCCCACCGCCGCCGAUUCGCUUCCUCCACCCCACGACUUUCGCCUCCUUGAAGGCUCCGCCGAUGUCGAUGACGUCCAUGGUCAUCAUGAGAACAGGCCCUUGAUGGACCUCCAAGAAUGGUUCGUUCGGAUUCUCAACGAAGAGCUCGAGAAGUUCAACGAUUUCUACGUUGACAAGGAGGAAGAGUUCGUUAUUCGUUUACAGGUUUUUUUCUUUCUUUCCUUUUUGUGGGUUUGACUCUAUUUUCUGAUCGUUUGAAGUUGAAGGGAAAAAGAAACUGCAUGCCCAUGUAGCCAAAUGUAGUUUAAUUAGGAAAAAGCUGAAAGAAAUUUGUUUCAUACGGAUUUUUCACGAGGUUUUCACAAUUGAAUGCACUCACAAAUCAACAUAAUUGAUUCAAUCCCAUUUAUUUAACUCUAAAUUUUGAGCUGCCGCCGGAUUUCGCCAUCGUUGUGGUGCUAAUCUCGUCUUGGGAAUUAGCAACCAAAAUUUGGUUAUUCAGAGGCUUUUUCUGUAGAACUUUGACUUACUUUGGAGUUAUAUUUUUACAUAAUUACUUGAGCUUGCUACCUGUAAAUCCUAGUUGGAAAAAAAUAUUUUUUUUGAAGCAGAUACAAGCUUAUGAUGGUGUGCUGCUCCUGCAACUCUCCAUAAUUUCCCUGAGUUCUUAUUUAAAUGUUUACUUCAAUCACUGCUACAAUUGAAAACUUCCCAACAUACAUACUUUUAGAGAAGUCUUAUUCUUGAUCAUUAUUUGGUAGGAGUUGCAUUGGACUGGUCCCUUAGAACCAAUGAUUUGUCCUGGAACCCUGAAUUUAAUCCUUGAGCCUAUUAGAUUUCCAAGUUUUCCUGGAAAUUUGAACCAAACCCUUCAGAGACUCCAGGGUGUAGAUCAUCUGGAACAAACCUACACCUGCCUCUCCAACACUGCAACAAAAAACAGGCCAACUCUUCCAUACUCUUAAGUUGAAUUUAUGUUUUGACUGUUACCUUCAAUGAUGUUCUCAAGGCAGGAUAUCCAAAGAAUAGAACUAUCACUAAUUUUUCUUUGUAAUCCACUUGAUGCUUUUGGUCUUAAAUUGAGUGCAAAUUUAUCUUAAAAAAGUAUUUUUCCCUGUACAAUGGUCCAACUUUCAGUUGAUAAUCUCCAUGAUUGUAGUCAUUGAGCAGUUUCUGGAGAAUGCUGUGAAAUUAUGUCUUUGUGGCUCUUUAUUGAUUCUUAACUGCAAUUGCUAAAGGAGCUGAAGGAAAGAAUUGAACAAGUGAAGGAGAAGAGCAUCAAGGGUGGAGUUUUGACGUCAGAGAGUGAGUUCAGUGAAGAAAUGAUGGACAUCCGGAAGGAUUUUGUCGCUAUUCAUGGGGAGAUGGUGCUUCUCAAAAAUUAUAGCUCCCUAAAUUUUGCAGGUAUAGCUUACUUCACUUCUUUCUUUUCUUCUAUGUCUAAUUUGGGUCAGUCAAGGGCUUUGUCACCAUUCAUGGGGAGAUGGUGCUUCUCAAAAAUUAUUGUUCCCCAAGUUCUACAGGUAAACUGCUGCUUCAUUAAUUCUUUUAGUACAUGAUAUCAGUUGAUGAACUCUAGAUAUCAGCAGUUCCUGAUCCAUUUCCACGUUCUUGCUUCAAUAGGUCUGGUUAAAAUUCUAAAAAAGUAUGACAAAAGAACAGGCGGAUUGUUGAGUCUGCCUUUCACACAACUGGCUCUUAAUCAGCCCUUUUUCACAACAGAACCUCUCACAAGGUUAGUGCGUGAAUGUGAGGCCAAUCUCGAGCUCCUCUUCCCAUUGGAAGCAGAAGUAAUUGAAUCUACACCCACUCUACGAAAUCAGACAAACCAAUUGCUUAAUGACUUACCAAAUCUCUCUUCUGACACACCCUCAUCCCUUGGGGAGGAAACGGGGGAUAUAUACCGCAGUACCCUUGCUGCAAUGAAAGCCAUAAGGGGCCUUCGAAAGGCUAGCUCCACCUGCAACCCAUUAUCAUUUGCAUCUUUCUUUGGUAACCAGGAUGAUGAAAGUGCUGGUGCAGUGACAGCUGAAAACUCUGCCUCCAACUCUUUAGCAACAUUACAGAGUGGGGAGGAGGCAGAUCAAGAGGAUGCAAAUUCAAGAAAACAGAAUUAGCCUUUUAGGGUGCUUUUGUUUCUUGCUUUGGAACGGUUUCUUGUAAUGAGUGGAAACUGACUGGCAGUGUGUACUUUCAUUUACUUGUAAUAAAGCUGCAACCCUUACAUUUAACGUUUUGCUCUACUAGUUAGUUUUGUUCUGUAUCUGGAUUAUUUUUGUAGACUAUAUAAUUAUCAAUUCAGCAGUUUGUACAUUCGAUUAGGCUCAAAACCAAUGGAUUACUUCCCUUUGUGUGAGUACAAUAGGCUGCCUUAAUAUUUACUGUUCCAUUCCAUUCUCACCAAACAAACAAGAAAAAAGAGAAUAAAGGAAAAAAUGAAUGAUAUUUUCCAUGAAACAUAAUCUCAUCCUGCUUUCUAGCAUCCUUUCUAUGCUUUUGGUUUCCUAUGCAUGCUUGCUGGCAUAGUUGUCGUCAUAGUUGAAAGGCAGAGGGACUGACUUGAAUGCCCUGUACUUCCCCACAUUGUUCAGGUGCUCAUUCUCCAACCUGAUCAACUCAACAUGAACCUCCCAUCUGUGAGAAAAGCAACAUUUUGAAGCAUAACAGGUUUCCAGGUCUAAGUUCACAUACCUGAAGAAGUUCCAGAUGCCACGACGAAUGAUCUCCAAGCAGGCAACCACUGCAACCAAUGCUGUUCUAUGCAUGAAAGGAAAAUCUCGAAUACCCAUCACCGUCUGCAUCCAAGCUAGUCUCAAAAUGACAUUCAACACCUGCAAUUUGUAUGAGACAAGAUGCCUCUGAGGCUUUUGAGCAACCCCCUGAUAAACAACAUUACCUAAAAGGUUCCUGGGUUCUCACCAUGGCUAUGAAGUAUACACUUUUGGAGGGUACAAGGAGCUUGUCCCUCAGCCAAGGGUUUUUUGAGUUCCAACGUAGAAGACCCCAGUCUAUGACGAUGUCCCAGUAUGUAUUGGCAAUGGUUGCAAUGCCUGAACUGGCUGCAGCCAUGAUUUUCCAAAUCAUUCCCCCCUGUAGCUCAUUAGCCGUCCUCAAGACAACUGCAGCAAUCGUUGAGAAGUACUUCAGCCCGUUAAGCACAUGACUUGGAUCUUUCUCAUCAACCCAGCGCCGAAAACACUACAUUCCAGUACAUAGAAAACCCCCAUUAAUAACCUCAUUGUCAUGUGUGAUAUGAUAGAAGAAGAAUCAGACAGGAGAAACAUCAGAACUACUGCUGUUUGAUUUGGCAUGCCAAUACCUGAAGGAGGCGAAACGCAUAUGGAAUCACUGCUACAACAAGAUAAAAAUCUUUGAAAACUUUACUUUCAGGGCACUUGUGUGAUCUUGUUUUGAAGUUCCCCCAGACAUAGUAGCAGACAUAGAAUUCUAGACUCCUAAAAGCCUGAACCUGAAAUGGAGCAGUGAACUUUGGCUAAGUAUUGUGAUCAAACUGAACAAGUUCAUAUAAUAAUAGACUCAAUGUCAAACCUGGCUUGUAAGCUGAUCUGCCAAGAAGAAAUCAGGGAGGGUGACCUACAGACACAAUGAAAUGAAGAUUAGAUUCCACUAAUUUAUCCUCCUUUUGCAGGUUCCUGGCGUGGUUACCUUGUAAAGGGGAGCACAUAUACAGUGAAAUGCGCACUGGAUAAAGAAGAAGCGACUUGAUCUGUAUAUGAUGUUGAAAGGACAGAAGAUUAUAAGAAGCAAAACCUGCAAACCAGAUGUUGAGAGUUCAUACUCAUUUGGAAAAUGUUGGCUUGUUUUGUUAGAUAAAAAAAGAUUGAAAUACAGAAGAUCUUACAAUGACUAUGCCUAAAGGGACUAAUUCUGUUAAUGCUUUGAAGCUUUUAGUUCUUUCGUCCAUCUCCAUAUCCAAGUUUGACAGGACACCGCCCAAUGUGAGUACUGAAAGAGCAGAACUAAGAAGAAGAACUUCUCUGUAACCCAAAGCUGUUCCUUGCUUGAAACCAAAUAUAAAUGUGUAAUUGACCCGAUACCGCCUCCAGAAGUAUAUGUUUGCAGAGUACAUGAGCAUAUGUAGCACAAUGAAUCCAAACAAGCUGCAAAAAUGUGGAAACAACCAUCUCAGCCCUGAUCAAUUUUAGGAUCCAUGGAACACCAAAAACUUACCUGUAGAGUGGAAAUAUGUUGUCCAUAUACAGAGCACGGCCUGGGUUCUUCAUGAUAUCUCUGGCAUGUAUGAUUACAACAAUGGCAACCACAAGUGCUAUGGAGCAACCAGAGAAGAAACCUGCAUAACAAACGGUUAAGAGAAUUUGUUUUGAUUUAUUAUUGAUUGAGAAAAAAAAAAAGGAAGAAUGCUUUGAGCCCAAGUCUUACCCAAGAAAUAUGUUACUCUAUGCCUUUCCCUCUUAGCUUUAGGCCUCAAAAUAUCCAUUCCUUUUCUGUGGUUUCCAUUUGCAAAGUGCUUGAUGAAGGUAGCCUCCACCCUCUCCACAAGCUUAGUAACCUGCAAAGAGGAAGAUGAACCCAAAAGUAGAGUUAGUGUGAGAAGAGAAUUGAUCCUACUAACAUAAGUAAAUUCUCAAGAAAUAUGUCUAGCCUCAUCUGAGCUUCCUAUAGGCGAAUUGUCCACCAUCUCCAGGUAGGCCUUCGAUGCAUUCCUUGAAGUGAUCUGCACUGAAUCAAAUUAGUGACAUUGAACUAUAAAUUUUGCAGUUCAGUGAGUAAUGAGAAACAGAAUUGUUGGGGACCUUGUCAUACUUCUUCAUGAUCUUAGAGAAUGCUAACUGGUUCAAGAAGCUGGUACAUUUAUCAGUGAUAUGAUCAGCUACAUGCUUUUAAGAAUGAAAACUUUAGAUUAUGUAGAAAGAAGAAGAGAAAGCCCUGUUACCAGUAACUUUUUAGAACCCGAAGUUUUUUAUGGAAUUCAACAAACGCCUUGGUUAUUAGCUCUUCUGCUUUCCUCAGCUCUUCCUUGCUGAACGACAAAUCAGACGUUGAAGUUGUGAGAAUGCCCUUCAAAGUUGAUAUUGGAGUUUCUCGUUCAAUGUUGAUCUUGACAUGAUUCAAGAUAUCUAGUGAAGCUGGUUUAAAGCCCUCAAUAUCUGGCUUGCCCUCUCUGCCUUUGCUGCUUUUCGCCAUGUUCCUCCUCCCUCUUUCAUCUUCUGAAUUUGCCCCAUUUGCCCCACUGCUCAUCUCAACUUCUUGGAUUGCAUCCAUAUGCACCCUUCCUUCACAUACAAAACCAAAAUUCUUCUAUAAAACAGAAAAAAUUAAAAAAAUAUCAGAUUUUCCCUAUUCCAUUUCACUGUCCCAACAUUCUUCUGCAGAUAGGGAAUUAGGAUUUCUAUAGAUUUCUGACUGAAAUGAAAAUCUGAGCAAACAAUUCCUCCUUACCAGGCUUUCUUCCAUUGUCCUGAUGAUUAAGCCUCUCUGCUGGGCCAGAACCAUCACCACCUCCUCCUCCUCCUCCAAACCCCACCGGUGGAUUCUCCACCUUGAUCCGAAGAGCAAUGAGAGCAUCCAUUUGCUUGUUCAGCUCCUCUGCCUCCCUCAUCACUUCCUCCACCUUCCCCUUAUAGAACUUCACCACUUUGUUGAACUCUUCAUCAAGCCUCCUGAAAUACACAAGCUCAUACUCUCCUCCUGCUUCAGAUGACAUCAAAAACAUGGUCUGGUAGUGCCCUUCUGACCCCUCUUCCUCCACUGCGCUCACCAGUAUUGCUUCAUCCUCAUUGUUCUUCCUAGGAGACCCUCUGUAUCUGCCUGUAAGCCCACUAAACGCCCUGUACAAUGACACCCUUCUCUUCAAUGAGGAUCUAGGUGUGGCAGACAUGGCCGCUGUCAACAUAUUCUGCUGCCUGAACCUCAACACAUCUUUCAACAAGCCCUUCAGAAAAUUGUAAUUCAUGUAUGCUUCUUGCCAUUCGGGCACCAUCUGUGAUACGAACUCCUUCCCGAACUUCAUUUUUUUUUUUGUCCUUUUGAUUCAAGGACUCAGCAGAAACACAGAGAUGGAAUCAGACCCCCAUUCCAUUUGAAGAGCUCAGAGAGGAAAACUCAACAGUAUGAACAAGUUUCUUGAUUAUUCCUCAUCUUAGACCGUCUCUCUCUGCAAGAACAGUUCAACAAACAAUGAAACAAAGUAAUAAUAUAUACCACUAGGGAUCCACCACUCUUUAAUUCAAAAUCAAUUAGAUGGGUAAAGUAGAUAAAAUAUUAUUGACUGCUGCAUAGCAUUGUUGGCCAUGUAUUUAUUCAUCACCCUUCCCACCAAUCAUGGGAAAAAAUUUAUUGCAACAUUUUUCAUGUAGAAAUUGGAAAAGGACAGCAAACUGUUAGAAGUUGACUUAUGUGUGAAAGCUUAAGUGAGAAUUUAUGUCCAGUAAUCAUUAGCUCAUAUUACUACCAUUUCCACCCUAUAAAUCUUUACGGGGCGUGUUUGGUAGCCGGAAUAGAAAUUAAUUUCAUUUUCUUGCAUUAGGUGAAGUGUCUUAACUUUUGUCCUCUGGAUACAGCCUCAUACAAGCUGUCUUAACCCCUCCCUUACAUAAAACCAAAUAAUUUUCCAAAAACAGAAAAACUAAGAAAAUGUUGCAACUUGUGAUUCUGAGACCAACAUUUCCUACACUACUUUAAUAUUCAACUUAUUUUGGGUAGUAAAAACAAAAUAUUUACAAAUUUAUAAAUUGAUUUUACAAACUUAAAUUUACAUAACUUUUUAGUAAGAACUAUAUUUUGAUUUUGUUUAUAUUAAAAGUAAUGAUAAUUUUGAUAUUUUUUUAAAAAUUUAUUUCCUCACUCGCUUAAAUUGGGUAAAUUGGAACUAUUAAAUUUAAUAUUUUUAUUAAAAUAUCAUAAUAUUUUUAUUAAUAUUUGGAUACCAUGAAUAAAAGUUUUGAAUAAUUUAUAAAUUAAAAGUAGGUGUGCACCUGUUUUUAAAUUUAUAUUUAACAUAAUUUUGAUUUAAUUUGUUUAUUAAAAGAUAAAAUGUGGUAAAAAUUUCUUAAAACUGAAUGAAAAUAGACUAAAGUAAGGAAAAAUAUUUAGAUUUUUAAAGAAUUUUGAUUGAAUAAGGAUGAAUUAAUUAUAACCGAUUUAUUUGAUUUAAACUAUUAAUUGUGCGGUUUAUUAUAAUAAUUAAUUGUAAAUAAAGGGGGCAGAUAAAAAUAUUUAAGUCUAAUUUAUUUAUGGAUUAAAUUCAAAUAUAUGUAACAAUAAAUAGAAUAAGCGAAUUUCCAAAAAUAUCCACAUUAAGUCUGAACUGAUGAAGUGUCACGAAUUUAUUGUAUGGAAAACGUCACUGCUGAAACUACUCUUCCUCCCCUAAGACAAACCAAACGGCCAGAUCUCCGAUUCAGCUAGUGAGUCACAGAGGCUCCGAGUUCGAACCGAGUCAGCGAAUUCUAGGGUUUCAGAAGCGAUGAGCAGAUUCAAAACCCUAAUUGUGAUUGUAGGGCUGAUGUGUACGGCCGCUGAUUCGAUGCGGUUCGACCUCACUUCAGGUGGCACAAAGUGCAUAUCGGAAGAUAUCAAGACCAACGCCAUGAGUGUCGGCAAGUACAGCGUCAUCAAUCCGAACGAGGGCUUCCCUUUGCCGGACACGCACAAGAUUACAGCUCAGGUGAGCUUGAAUUCGAUAUUGAAACCCUAACCCCUUGUUUGGUUGCGGAGAAAGCAAAUUUUGAAAGUUAUGAAAUUUUGUGUUUUAUCUUGUCUUUGUAUUUCUAAAAAGGAAAAAUAUUACUUUAGGUUGUGUGAAAAUUCGGGAAAAGAAAAGGAAAUGCAAUUUUGAGUUUGUUGGGUUGCGGAAAACGGAAGCCUUACCUCAACUGAGUCAAACGGUUGUAUUUGGGAUCCGAUCUUUUCCUGGAUUUUCUGGGGAACCAAAUGGAGGGUUGAAUUCCACCCUUUUUAUUCUAUGGUAUGCCUUUUUUGAGUGGAGAUUGAUUUGGUGAAAAUGGAGUUGUUGCAGGUUUCUUCUCCGUACGGGAACAAUUAUCAUACUGGGGAUCAUAUAGAAUCUGGUAAUUUUGCGUUUACUGCAGCUGAAGAAGGUGACUACACCGCUUGCUUCUGGGCGCCUCAGCACAAGCCUCCAUUAACAGUAACUAUUGAUUUUGAUUGGAGAACUGGUGUUGCUGCUAAGGACUGGUCCAAGGUUGCUAAGAAAGGGCAGGUUGAGGUGAGUGAUGUGCUAUUACCUGUUUUUUUAAAUGGUUUUGGGUCCUUUCUUUGUAUUAUCUCGAGACCAUUUGUUAAUUAUUCUAGUUACCAUGUUUGGUUUCUUAAUUCUUCAUAUACUGCUUAUUUAUAUGAUAAUGGGCUUGAGUUGUAUGGCAUACAAAAUUCACCUUCUUGAUGAACAUUUGCUGGGUUGAGAAUGCUGAAGGUUCAUGAGAAACAAAGAUAUGGUGAUUCUUGUUUUAUGGUGAACAUACAUAAGAAGCGAAGAUAUGGUCGCUCGUGGUUUAAGUAGAGAUAACAUUUUAGGUUGACUGUGAUGCAUGUAUGCUAGGAAGUACUUGUGUAGUCGGGUGUGACCCUUUUUUCUAGGCCCCUUUUUCUAAUUGCCUAUCAAAAAAUAUAUGCUGGAAGUGACAUUUAUCUGGGACAUCUAUGUAUUAUAGGAAGUAACUUUUUUAUCACCUCAUUUAAAAUAAUUACACUUAUUUCCAAACAGAAUAUAUGUCCCUAGAUUGGGUGGAUUAGCCUAAAUGGUACAGUAGACACCAAUAGUUGUAAUUAGGCUUUUUUUUAGUGUGUGCUAUGGAGUUAGCUCAGUGACUCUUAUUUUUAUCUCAGAUUGGGAAUCCUAGGAUUUCAGCUGAAAGUCGUAUAUUUCAACUUAGAAAUAUUGAGUCCUAAGAUUUGGGUUUUUGGGCUAAUGGUUAAUAUCAGUUGUAGAAUUCAAAAUUAACUAUGUACUUGUUGCAAUUUUCGGACGAGGGCGGCUUGGUAGGCAGGAGACAUUGAUUUUUCAGGAAUUUGAGCAGUUCCUCUGAUUGUUUACUGCUAACUGGCAUUUUCUUUUAUUUCAUUUCUUGUCUUCCUUGCGUGUUUUGUUUUUCUGUGGUGCCAACCCAUAAUAUUUCUUCUACAUGGGUUGUGGCCAUUAUUUAUUCUCUUUAAUUAUAAAAAAAGAAGGGGGUAAAAAACUACCUCAUUGGUAGCAACUGCCUUAAUGUAUAACUAGCUAUCAUCGUUGUUAGUUGUGUGAUUCAAUGCACGACUUGUUUGGGCUUCCCCUCAGAACUUUUCAACUUUACGGAACUUCAACAUGGGAUGGAGGGAUAUUGUGAAGUGUGUAUGACUGGGCAUGAUUUUCAUGAGUAUAGCUGAUGUGAACAUAAAUUAUGGGGAAGAACUAGAGAAUAGAUACAUGAAGUAGGUCAGGAGGUUGCCAUUGUACUUGACCAACUCUUGUGCCCUUCUCAUACCUCUCAAAAAAUGGGUUUUAACAAUUUCUUCACUUUGAUCCAGUUGGCAAGGUAGGUUAUAACUAAAGGACCCACAUAGCAUUUUAAGUUUGAUGUGUAUUCACAUUGCACCUUUUGCAUGGGCAAAAUCUUACUUCUUCAUUUUUCCAUAGAUCAAUCUAGACAUGGCUCUUAUUUUGCCAAAUUAUCUUCAACCUAGAUAUGGCCUCAAAAGUUUCAUCAUCUUCAAAACUUGGUUUCAAGUUUAGCUCCAGCUGGCUAGCUGAGGUAUGACAAAAGUAGAGCACCCAUGUAGUAUUUCAAGUUAGAUGCCACUGAUUUUUGUCUUUUGCUGUAGUUUAGAUAUAAAAAAUAACUAGUUUAUUUAUGUGUUAUCUUUCAAGAUUGUUCUUCCUGAGUGUAUGUUUUCAUUCAGUCAGUCUGGAGGUUGGGCCAUUUGGACAUUUUGGGGAUUGAUACCAAGCAUUGUGUAUCUUUUGUUGGAGAUUGACACUGAGCAUUGUCCAACUUCAGAUCAACAAAAUGAUUUUAACAUAUAAAGCUCAGUUCUGAGAGUUCAGUAUUGUUCUAAUUUGAUUUAGUGUAAAAUUUCCUGGGCAAAAACUGCUACUUGUCAAUCUUUUAUUUAGUUGGAGAUCUUUCAAUAUGGACAACUUGCUUUCAAUUAUCAUUUUGGUAUGCUAUGCUCUUUAGGAGGCUUAUUAUCUUCCAUUUCUUCCUCAGCUUAAAUCAACAUUUUAGGAAUUUAUGGGUGUCCAGAUGCCAGGUGAAACCAGUAAGGGAAAGAUGAAACAUGGAAUAAAUAUCUGCCUCUUCUCAUGACUUCCUGUUCUGGAUGAUUUUUUAAAGAUGGUGAAGAUUAAGUAGAAGCCUUGUGGAGUCCUUAGAACCUUGUGGAAUUGUUAAUCAGUGGUACUUAAAGGCAGUAAACUUGGGGCCUUUCACCACAUACAAAGAAUGAUAAUUUGCACAUACAAAGAAUGAUAAUUUGGUUUGGCUUGGCUAUCUCCUGGACUGUCUUGAAGCAGCUGUGGAGGUCAAAGCAGUUUGGAUGCAUAUGGUGAAACAAUAGGAAUCCAAAGAAUCAAGCCAUAGGUAUAAAAACUAGUUUGGAUGCAUAUAUUGAUUCAUAAGAAUGUAAAGAUAUUCAAAGCACAGAUCUGCUGAGCCUCACCUCACCUUUUACCUCCUGCUAACUUUUCCAAGAUGUAGGGAGCUUAUUUCCUAGUUUAAUGUUACUAUCUCUUAUUUUUCUCAUUUGGAAAGUUUCACUACUUCUCAAAAAUUUACGGAAAGACAUUGUAAUAUCUGCUGAAUCCUAGUAUUGUGUGUUGAUGGUGUUGUAUCCCACUUGUGCUAGGUGAUGGAACUGGAGUUGAAGAAGCUGUACGACACAGUCACAUCCAUUCAUGAAGAAAUGUUUUAUCUUCGUGAGAGGUAUGGACAAACUAACUUCUGGUAAUUUUAAAUUUUUUAUUCUUUCUUUUCUGGGAUGGAUCAUAUGAGAAGCCCCUUAUAUUUUAUUCAUUAUAGCAAAUGAUUGUUCUCUUUUUCUGUCCGGGUGUUCCAGGGAGGAAGAAAUGCAAGAACUUAAUCGAGCAACCAACUCUAAGAUGGCCACAUUUAGUUUCCUCUCACUCUUAGUUUGCUUGUCAGUGGCCGGAUUGCAAUUAUGGCACCUGAAGACAUUCUUUGAAAGGAAGAAGCUCCUUUAGUUUCUACCCUUCAAUAGAUCAUGCAGUUCCCUUCUCCGCUCUUUUAGCUAUUUUCCCAUAGCACUGAUUCAUGUAUCACUUGUGAUGCGUUUGGUACUAAACAGAAGCAGACCCUAGAAAUGAUGCCAUAUUUGGAUCACAAUGUAACUGAUAUUUUAUUGAAAUCUGACAUCUUAAUAUUAUGACAAUUUUGUUGGUUGGUGUGAGGACUACAUCCUGAUUUUCAAUGAUUGAUAGAUGAAGAGGAAAGAAUCCCAUCUUAUGGUUGAAUUUACUAGGAUUUGGUUUUCUUGUUUUCAUGAACUGGUGUUGAUGAUGAUAAAUAUAAGACCCUGAACUUAUCUUACAAUGCAACCAUGCCCACGCUUUCCGUGCCAACCCCCACCACCAAGCCCUUGUGCUUGCCAAGAUUUUCGGUUGCUUGCUUUAUGUGGACUCUCGUCUCUCAAAUCCACCAACCAAACACUUUCUUCUACAACACCCUCAUCAGGGGCUACUCCAAAAGCUCCUCUUCACAGUCUGUUCUUUGUUCAAUUAGAUGAGGUGAAAUUGCGUCAGCCCAGAUGGGUUCACCUUCACAUUCUUGCUAAAAGCGUGGUCAAGAAUGAGAGUUGAUUUACCGUUAAUUGUGGUGUUGUAUGAGAUUCAUGGGGCGGCGUUGAAGUUGGGGUUCUACUUUCAUUUGUUUGUUACGAAUGCAUUGAUUCAUCUAUACUAGGCGAAGGGGUUCCCGCCACGGCUCGUGUUUGAUGAGACGAUGGGGUUCAAUGUUGUUUGGGUCUGGUUGUUGUGCAUGUGAGAAAGGGAGAAUUGGAACUUCCUCGUCAGGUGAUGAUGAAAUACUUGGGAGAUGUUUCAUGGACUGUGAUGGUGUCUAUGUAUGCACAAGCCAAACGUUCGAGGGAGCCACUGGAGUUGUUUAGGGAGAUAAGAGAUGUAAGAGUGAGACCUACUGAUGUGGUCACCAUGGUCAGUGUAAUGCUACUAAUGUCCUUGUUGCUUCUGCUGUCUGAAAAUUUUCGAUUUGCGCCUGGAGUUACAACCAAGCCUUUGCAAGCUCCCGGCUAACCUUACUUCUGGUAAUUCGUAUUAGGAGGUAUCCUUGUCUCUUCGAUGACUUGAUUAGCUAUGACAUACUUCACUUUUUUGUCAUAUGUGACCCAUAAGAGCAUAAUAAAGAGAACUCAAUCGAAGACACAACUGUAAUCUUAAUUUUAAUUAUAUUUGAUUUUUUUUAUUUUAUUUUUUACAUUUUUCAUAAUAAAACCAAAUAUAAGAAAAUUAUUUUCCUUAAUUUUAUUUUUUCUUUCUUUAGUAUUUUUGGAAAAAAAAAAUAUAGUCAUAGUGUUUUCUUACUAAUGUUUCUAUUAAAAACAAUUUUAUAAACAAUCUUCUAAUUUCUAUAUAUAAGAUUAAAAAUGUUCUUAACUCUUUUAAUAUUAGAUUUAAUGGAACAAUAAACAAACAACUUAGAAACGAGAAGUCUACAUAUGAGAAAGUGUUGCCUAUUUUAGUACAAAUGCUUAAGUUAUAAUGAAGUUUUUGAUGCAAAUGAUGAUCAUAUAAUAGACCAUAUUUAACAUCAUCAAAAGGGUUAUGGACUUUAUUACUAAAUAUAAUGAAUGAACAUAGAAAAUAUAUUUGAUUUCUGCAAAUAAUGUAUUCCAUAUCAAAAUGUAAAUGAGAAACUUCACUCUAUAUUUUAUAUUGACUACCAUUAAAAAUUUUAUUUAUAAAUAAAUAGAUAGAUAGAUAGAAAAGUAGAUAAGGUGAUAGGAAGCAAGAUGAGGAACCUCCAGUAUAGGUCUUCUCUCUCUAUAUAUACAUAUAUAAAUCAGUAUCCUAUCAUUUCCAAGAGAAGAGAGAAGAACCAUAUUGUAUUGCCCUUUCAUGAAACAAACCCAUUACUGUACAAUAUUAGAUGCCACUGAAUUUUGUCUUUUGCUGUAGUUUAGAUACAAAAAAUAACUAGUUUAUGUGUGUGUUUUCAAGAUUGUUCUUCCUGAGUGUAUGUUGAGUUUGGGCCAUCCCUAUACCCAUUAGGACAUUUUGGAGAUUGAUACCAAGCAUUGUGCUCAAUUCUGAGAGUUCAGUACUGUUGUAAUGUGCUUUAGUGUAUAAUUUCCUGGGCAAAAACUGCUACUCAUCAAUCUUUUAUUUAGUUGGAGAUCCUUCACUAUGGACAACUUGUUUUCAUUAGGAUUGUUAUCUUCCCUUUCCUCAGUUCAAAUCAAAAUUUUAGGAAUUUAUGGGUGUCCAGAUGCCAGGUGAAACCAGUAAGGGAAAGAUGAAACAUGGAUUAAAUACCUGCCUCUUCUCAUGACUUCCUGUUCUGGAUGACUUUUUAAAGGUGGUGAAGAUUAAGUAGAAGCCUUUUGGAGUCCUUAGAACCUUGUGGAAUUGUUAAUCUGUAGUACUUUAAGGCAGUCAACUUAGGGCCUUUCACCACGGACAAUGAAUGAUAAUUUAUUUGGUCUUUCAAUGAUUGAUAGAAUAAGGGGAAAGAAUCCAUAUUGGUUGAAUUCACUGGGAUUUGGUUUUCUUGUUUUUAUGAACAGGGUGUUGAUUAUGAUAAAUAUAAGACCCUGAAAAGUUACAUUUCUAACAAAGUAAUGCAUAUGCUGCCAACAAGCCAGAGUUUGGCCUCCAUGGCCGAGGCUUGUCUCACAAUGCAAGCCCUCAAGCUCAUCCACGCCCUCGCAUUCCGUGCCAACCUCCACCACCACGCCCUUGUGCUCGCCAAGAUUUUCCGGUUUGCUGCUGUCUCGCCCAACGGUUGUUUGCACUAUGCGGACCGUCUCUUCUCUCAAAUCCACCAACCAAACACUUUCUUCUACAACACCCUCAUCAGGGGCUACUCCAAAAGCUCCUCCCCUUCACAGUCUGUGCAAUUGUUCAAUCAGAUGAGGCGAAAUUGCGUCGACCCAGAUGGGUUCACCUUCACAUUCUUGCUAAAAGGACGGUCAAGAAUGAGAAUCGAUUUGCCGUUAAUUGUGGCUUCCGACGAAAUUCAUGGGGCGGUGUUGAAGUUGGGGUUUUGUUUUCAUUUGUUUGUUAUGAAUGCAUUGAUUCAUCUAUACGCGGCGAGGGGUGUUCCCGCUGCGGCCCAUCAAGUGUUCAAUGAGAUGGUGGGGGCCGAUGUUGUUUCAUGGUCGGGUCUGGUUGUUGCGCAUGUGAGAGCCGGGGAAUUGGAACUUGCUCGUCAGGUGUUUUAUGAAAUGCCCGAAAGAGAUGUUGUUUCGUGGACUGUGAUGGUGUCCGGGUAUGCACAAGCCAAACGUUCAAGGGAGGCACUGGAGUUGUUUAGGGAGAUGAGAGAUGUAGGAGUGAGACCUGAUGAGGUCGCUAUGGUCAGUGUAAUCUCGGCGUGCACCAGCUUGGGAGACCUGGAAACAGGUUUUGAGGUGCAUCGUUACAUUGAUGAGAAUGGGUUCGGGUGGAUGGUUUCGCUUUGCAAUGCAUUGAUUGAUAUGUAUGCGAAGUGUGGGUGCAUGGACCUGGCAUGGCAAGUGUUCAACAACAUGGAAAGAAAGAGCUUAAUUACUUGGAACUCAAUGAUAUCAGCCUGCGCAAACCAUGGGAACGCAGAAGAUGCAUUCAGGGUGUUCACUCUUAUGUUGUAUUCUGGGAUUAGGCCUGAUGGAGUAACGUUUCUGGCCCUCUUAACUGCAUAUACACACAAGGGGUGGGUCGAUGAUGGGUAUGGAUUGUUUGAGAGUAUGCAGAGGGACUAUGGAGUAGAGGCAGGCGUUGAGCAUUAUGGGUGCAUGGUAGAUAUGUUAGGCCGGGCAGGACGGUUGGAGGAGGCGUAUAAACUAAUCACUAGCAUGUCAAUGCCAUGCAAUGAUGUGGUAUGGGGAGCACUGCUUGCAGCUUGCAGGAUUUAUGGGGAUGUAGAGAUGGGUGAAAGGGUUUUGAAGAAGUUGAUAGAGUUGAAACCAGAUGAAGGAGGGUACUACAUUCUCCUCCGUGAUAUUUAUGUUGCUGCAGGACGAAGGGCAGAAGCAAUUGAACUGAGAAGAGCUAUGGAUGUCAAUGGAGCAAAAAAAACACUAGGCUGCAGUUGGGUAGGAGCAUGAUUUUCACAACUGGCGAAUACCUGCAUUUUUUAACGCUACUAGGGAUCAAGUAUCAUGCCUUAGUGCUGCCUUUCACGACCAAAUGGUUGGAAGUGAAAGGUAAUCUCACCAUCCUCCUAAUUCUAAAGCUCUGUUGCAUAGCAACGAAACCAAGGAGCUAAGCCGGAUUUAUCACCAAAUAAUACAGUGGUUUCUCCCAGAAGAAUUCAAUACCUUCCUAUGCAAUUGUUAUUAUUUUGAUAAACCUCUAUGUGCCCUGUGAAGCCCCAAACAAGUUGACCAUUUUUAAGUUGACUGAGUAGGACAGUGGAUUGACUGUUCGUUUCUAUAAUCAAGUGAACAGAGGUGAGGCUGAAUCUGAAUCUGCAUGCUUCUACCUAAACAGACUCUCUUUUGCAAGGCUGCCAUCAUGGGAAGGAUUAGCUUCUGCAUCAACAAAAGGAUUUGCAGCUGAAAUAAUGGAUUUGCUGGUAUUCCACAAACCACAGCAAGCGUGGGGAUUCUACUUCCAAGGUCCGCAACUCUUUUCUUCUUGAUGUUCCUCUCAUGGGCCCAUAGACAUCAAUCAAUUUACACACUGGGCGUGCUCGGACUGAAUUGAGACUUUUGGGUGCUCAUAGUCUAAUAAUUUAAAAUAAUAAUUGCAAUGUUCCUUUUGCAGGGAUGGAGAAAUAGUCUCGAUUAAAAGUAGUCUAAUUUUCUUUUGAACUGGGGAACAACCUGAUAGAAGAUAACCACCUGAAAUCUUAUUCAGAAGCCAUCGGGUUUUUCUGCUUAAAUUGCAUUAAAUAAAAAUCCCAUGGUUUUCACGAACCAUCAACCCUCCAAAAGCUACCCAAUUACCAACAGUAUGAUCCCAAACAAAUAGAACCCUCUUGGGAAAAAAAUAUAUUCAACAUGUUUGUGAAGAACAUUUCUAAAGCCCAUAAUACUGCUAGUCCGUCCAACAUAAAAUUAUAAUGAAAAGGGUUCAUGCAGAUUGAUAACACAGGCCUUACCAACCUGACACAUGCAAAAUUUUUAUAAACUAGAACCAGCAUCCCAUAUGUGCAGGAUUUUAUUAAUAAAAAGCACCAACACUUGCACGCAUACUGAAGUUCAUAUAGCCAAUAAUAUCAACACAAAGCAACAGAACACCAGGCAAACAAACACAUGCCCCAACCCUUUAUUUAGUAGCAAGCUAUGGCUGAGACCUCAUUCAUAAGGAGAACCACCACAUUAUGCUCACUCAUCAUCAUAGCUCUGGCGGUGGUGGUGAUGGUGGUGAUGCUUCCUAGACUUCUUCUCCUCAUCAUCAUCGGAGUUGUCAUCUCCCUGACAAUUCAAAAAUGUAAUCAGAAUAAUUAAAGGACAAAUUUAUGAUCAUAUAACAUAAACAACCAUCUCACAUUCUUUUCCAACAUGAUUUUACAACAUGCAUGGGAUGUAUGAAAUGAAAAAUAGUUCUCCAAUAAUAGGUCCAUGCCAGAAAAUUGUGCUAAUCAAAAGCACAGCUGUAUUAAUGGGUUUUGCACUUCCAUGAUAAGAGAAGUACACAUGAGGAUAGGUUUUAUAAGAAAAUAGAAAAAGUUGUAUAACUCAACCAAGGUGCAAUGUUAAAAUGUGCAGGCGCCAUGGAGGCCUUCAUGUUUAUAUGGGCCUAACUUCUGUGUCUUAGACUGCAAGUACUCCUUGAAACAAUUAGCAACCCUUGGAACAGUAAACAUUCCUUGAGAGGCAGGAUGGCAAUUCUGUGGCUUUCCUUAUAGCAGGGCAAAGAAACACCAGCACAAACAUAAUCCGGGAUGAUUAUUUUAUAUAUCUUUAUAAAUGACAUUACAAACUAAGGGCUCUUAAGAAUUUGGGUCCAAGAUGGGUAUGAAUGUAUCCAUGCCCAAAUCCUAUUUUUUCUCAGCAGUUCUCAAAGCCUGCAGGAUCCAUUUACAAGUAUGAAACCAUUUCCUCAUGCCACAUCCUUUCACACACCCAUUCAUUGAAUAGGUUUUAGGACUGGCAAACCAGAUGACAACUUACAAUUGCAAUACCUCAUAGUCUGAUUGUGCAAAACAAUUAAAUAAUGACCCAAAAAGAAGGAAUGAGAGAGGGAAACCUCUUAUGCCAUUACAAGUUUUAAGUAGGGAAAGACUAGAUGUUCAGUAAAAUGAGGAAGCAGGAAACAACAAUGGUAAGAGAGGAGAUGAAGGUUUUCCUUUCCUUUUUUAAGUGGAUGGCAUCAAAAAGCCAAGAAAAGGUAUUCCACUCUGAUUUCAGCAUAAAUUUAUCACGUUUCUUAUAUUAAAAUAAGAGUUAUGUAAACAAGGGUAAUAAAAAAACAUAAAAAGGUUAAACAUGAACUCAUUUCAACAGAACAGUUAUGCCACAUUCUCCAUGAAUUUCUAAUCUAUCAGACAAAUAUGAGGAGAUGCAAAAAACAAAAAAAAAAAACAAAAAAAAUGCACUGGAACCAUGUCACAGAACCCAACUGCAUAACACCUUAUCCAAAUUAUAGACCAGCUUGGCUACCCUCACAGCCUCAACCUGCAUUUUUCAGACUUAACAACUUCACAUUAUACUUGAGCCUUCAACUUAAUCCAUUGCCAGACCAUCUCCAAGCACUCUCUCUCAUUUUAUGAUCAAUCAGCCACCUCCUAGCUUCUCACAAAUGUACCCAUUCCCAAUUGACUUCUUUUUAAUUUUCAAAACCAAAAUUCAAAAUAAACCUAUUGCAAAUGUAUUAUAUUAAUGAGACAGUAGAGCUAGUUUCCAUUUAGAAUUAAGUUCUAUACAAAGAAUUACAAUGCAUGAAAAAAAAAAAGACAAAGGAAAAAAUUAAUAAUAAGGGAAAAAAAAACCCUGGCAUUUAUGAAAAGAAAUUACAGUUCAUAAAAAGAUUAAAAUGAGAUAGAAAUUGAAGGCAUCCUUUGGUUAACAUUUCCAUGAAUACUCUUAUAUUUUUCAAACGCUAUAAUCCAAGUACUAACCAGAUAGUGCCUGAAUUGUAGAAUAGGAAUUCAAACGAGCACCCAUCUAGAUCACAAUUAGGUAGAUGAAAAACCAGAAUAAUGGGCCACAAAAGAGUAAACAAAUGAAACCUUUAGAUAUGUUUUUUGAAUGGAAAACCAAAUAAUAAAUCACAGCAAAAUCAAUACAGAUCUCCUCACAUUCAGAAACCAAAAUUAUCAAUAAUCUACUAGUCUCGGAUCCAAUUAGCCAAUAAGAAACAAUGCAGCAAAGAAAACCUUGUCAGAUCACACUCACAACUAGUCCACAGAAAACUAGGAACUAAAGUGAGGAAAGCAUUAAUGUACUCACGUAUUUUUUGCGGCCAUAGCCCUCUUCACCAUAACCGUACUUGCGAGGCUCAUCAUCAUCAUCGCGCCUCUCAUAAGCCGGCUUCUCGUAGCCCUCCUCUUCUUGCCCCUCAUUACUUGGCCUCCCAUAACUAGGCCUCCUCGGUGGCUCCUCCACCUCCGGACUCUCGUAGCUCGGCCUCCCAUACUGUGGCUUCCUGGGGGACCCUUCCCCACCAUAACCAUACCCGCCACCUUGUUCCUCUCCGAAGCUAGGUUUCCGACCGUACCCAGAUCCAUAUUCAGAACUCGGUGCUUCGUACUCAGGCCUCCGACCAUACCCAGAUCCAUACUCCGAACUGGGCUGCUCGAACUCGGGCCUCCGACCAUACCCAGAUCCAUACUCCGAACUAGGUUGCUCGUAUUCAGGCUUCCGACCGUACCCAGAUCCAUAUUCCGUGCUAGGCUGUUCGUAUUCAGGCUUCCGACCGUACCCAGAUCCAUAUUCCGAGCUAGGCUGUUCGUAUUCAGGCUUCCGACCGUACCCAGAUCCAUAUUCCGAGCUAGGCUGUUCGUAUUCAGGCUUCCGACCGUAGCCAGAUCCAUAUUCCGAGCUAGGCUGUUCGCAUUCAGGCUUCCGACCGUACCCGGAUCCGUACUCCGAACUGGGUUCCUCGUAAUCAGGCUUCCGCCCAUGCCCAGAUCCAUACUCACCCUCCCCACCAAAACUCGACGGCGGCUUCGGCUGAUACCCAUACUCACCACCAUCACCACUGCCUCCGAACCCUCCUUGGCCAGGAGGUGGUCCGGCGUAACCAAGGACCGGACGAG
This 50176-nucleotide long non-coding RNA is filed under the name Vitis vinifera (wine grape). Its description in RNAcentral is "long non-coding RNA (VVIN_LNC004905)". Lineage: Eukaryota; Viridiplantae; Streptophyta; Magnoliopsida; Vitales; Vitaceae. The record is from RNAcentral.